GUGGAAGGAGAUGAAACUUUGGACAUUAAUCAAAUUAAUCAUAUGAUGUAUCAUUGUGUUGAUAGCUACUUUUCUCUAUUACUUUAGGUCCUUUUAAAAUAUUUUUUUGCCUUUUUUUUUUGGAAGCACAUUGACAUGUGGAGUUUUAGAUAUGGUUUAUUAUAGCUUUUCUUUUGAAGUUGGAUUAGUGGGUUACAUGUGUAGUACUUUGUGGAAAGGGAGAUGAGAAGGAUAAAGUAGUACUUAAUACAUGAUAUAACCUUCUAUGAAAAGGUACUUUGGAUAUAUAUAUGUAUUUAAUGGGAAAAUGAGAUGGUAUAUUGUGUUAUCUUUUAACUUGUAUUUCUUUAUUUUUCACUUCUUCUUGUUGCUGAGUUUGCUUUUGCAACUUGCCACCACAAAACCUUCCCAAACCCAUUUCUAAUCUAGUGGCAAAUUCAAUUAUAUAUGUUUGUGAGUUUGAUAGAACUUAUGUUUUUCAGUGGAAUUAUUUAUAUAUAUGCGCCAAAAAAUAAGUAGUAGCAGAGCUAGAUAUACAUUUUAGCAUUCAUUUUCUGACUCAAAAUUUAUCCGUCUUAAAUUUGAAUAUGUCCAUGACAAACCUUAUCCAUAUUUCGUGGGUAUAGAGAUUAUAGACAAUCAUCAUAAAAAGACAAAAUGUGCUCAAAGAAACAAACCACCACUAUUAUAAAAUCUUGAAAAAUGAGCAAAAUGAUUAAAUUCAUUGUCUCGAAUUUCGAAUAAAAAUUUAUAGCGUUUAGAUUAGUGGAAUUUUGAAUACCAAAAGCACUUAGAUUUGGUGAUGUUGAAAGGAGCAGCAGUUAGGUUUUUCAGUUAUAGAGUUGUUAAAAUUUUGUGAAGUGACUGUUGCUAGACAUUUGCCGCAAAUGUCUAUUAUGGAUAUUUGCGUGUUCUGCUGCAUAAUGUUCUGCCAUUUGUCUUACCAUCAACUCCUUUCCCUACGAGAAAAAGGGUAAACAUUUUGAGGUACUAGUGUCAUAGUGGUAUUUUCAAAUAAUAGCGGCUUGACACUCAAGUCAUUCUCAAGGGGUAGUUUCAAGUACUUUGGAUCGGUUAUUUAGGGGAUUGGGGAGAUUGACGAGGAUGUCACACACCGUAUAGGGGUGGGGUGGAUAAAGUGGAGGUUAGCGUCGGGAGUCUUGUGUGACAAGAAAGUGUCACUGUUACUAAAAGGUAAGUUUUAUAGAGCAGUGGUUAGGCAUGCCAUGUUAUAUGAAACUGAAUGUUGGCAGGUAAAGAACUCACACAUCCAGAAGAUGAAAGUAGCAGAGAUGAGGAUGUUGAGGUGGAUGUGCGAGCAUACAAGGAUGAAUAAGAUUAUAAAUGAAGAUAUUUGAGAGAAGGUGGACGUGGCCCCCAUGGAGGACAAGAUGCGGGAAGUAAGACUCAGAUGGUUCAGGCACAUUCAGAGGAGGAGCACUGAUGCACCGGUGAGGAGGUGUGAGCGACUGACUGUAGUGGGCACGCGGAGAGGUAGAGGGCGACCUAAGAAGUAUUGGGGAGAGGUGAUCAGACAGGACAUGACGCGACUUAGGAUUACUGAGGACAUGACCUUUGACAGGGAAUUAUGGAGGUCGAGCAUUAAAGUUGUAUGUUAGGGGAAACUUGUGAAUAUUUCUACAGCACAAUAGAGUGAGACUAGCCAGUUAGGAGUUAGACUAAGAAUGUCAUUGGUCGUCUAUUGAUGCAGGGCUUUACCUGCUAGUUUUACUAUACUAGCCAUCUAUUUCGUAUUUCGUAUUCUGUAUUUCAUAUCUCUUAUAUUGCUGUUAUUUUAUUAUGAAUUUUAUGGUACUAAUAUAUCGGCUCUUGUUGCUUUUUUUGAGCCGAGGGUCUCCUGGAAACAGCCUCUCUACCCUUCGAGGUAGGGGUAAGGUCUACGUACAUAUUACCCUCCCCAGACCCCACUUGUGGGAUUAUACUGGGUCGUUGUUGUUGUAGUAUCAUAGUGGUAUUCCUAUUUAUAUCCAUGCUGCCAAUCUGAUUGUUUUUAAAUUUUUCAUCUUAUCUUGAGACUCAAUUAAUUCAGAUUCGUAUCGAAAAAUUUCAUUUGGAGAUAAAGUGUUUUAACAUGUUUUCCAUCAAGAUUUCAUAUUAAGGCUCGACCCCGAGAUCUCUAAUUAAGAAUGGGAAGAUAUUUACCACUUUAUCACAAGCUUAAUGUGAUAGUCCCAUCUGGCAAAGGACGAAGAUACAUUAUCUUCAGGGGUGGUCUCGACGAAAAAUUACAUUGUAUAUAUAGGUAAAAAUAUUAGAUUUUAGAGUUAUAUAACAUAUAUUGAACACUCUUUGUCGAAAAGUUAUUUUCACUUUUUUAUUUUAUUUUGAACACCCAUAGAGAAAUCUCUGGCUUUUAGGGGUAAGACCAUCUCCAACCUUACCCCUAUUCCCCGUAAUGGAGGCAAUUUUGGGGUAAUUUAGCUCCAACCCUCCCCCAUUUUUGUUCCCAAAAUGGGGGAUGAAUAGUGUUCCCUCAAAUAUGGGGUACACUAUUCAUCUCCCUCAUUACUAUUCAUCACUUUAUUAUUAUUAUUUUAUUAUUUAAUCUUUUAAUUUAUCUCUUUAUAUAUACCUAAUUAUGUUUGUGUAAUGUCUUUAUAAUAUUAAUUUUACAUCUUNNNNNNNNNNNNNNNNNNNNNNNNNGAAAAUUUAAAAAUGAAAGAUAAUAAUAUAAUAUAGAAGAGAGAAGAAUAUAAAAAAGUUUGGAAAAAAAUGAGGGAAUGGUUGGAGUAAGUUUUCCCCAAAAUGGGAAAAUCCUCGUUUUGGGGACCAAAAAUAGGGUAAAGGUCGGAGAUGCCCUAAGCAUCUGGUUUGGAUAUAUAGGGGUCAUUUUAUUUACUUUUACUUUGUUUUUGGAAAGCUUCAUAAUGUGCCCUUGAGGUCGAGCUUUAAUUUAAAAAGGAAGACCUUUUUUGUAAAAAAAAAAAAGGAAAAAUAAUAAUCUAGAAGCACUUAGUCAACAGGUUUUGAAUUUCAAUUGAAUGUUCAAGUACCAAAUCGAUGGUUUUGUUGAUCACUUAGGUACAAGGAGAAAAUGAAAAAGAAAAGAAAGAGAUGAUGCUUUGUUUCUGCAUUGAUGACUUGGUCGUCCAUGUCCCUGCCCAAUCUUUUUUUCUUUCUUAUUUGUUUCAUGCAUUCGUAUUCGAAAAAGGAAUAGAGAUAUAACUGGAAUAAUAAAUUGAUUCAAAAAAACGGAGGCCUCGGGCAAUUUGCCGAAGAAAUAACUACUCGAAUAAAGAAUUAAAUUAAGAUGGAUACUGAUUAAACUAAAGGAAUUAAGCAUAUUUGGGUGAAGCAGAGUCAGAACUGUACGUUAGUAAAUUUUAUAUUCGAAAAUAUUUUCUGGAAAUAGAAACCAAGUAAAACAGAAUGGAGAAGAAAGCUGUAAUCAAUUCGAAUCCACUGAAUUUACGGUGUUUCUUUAAGGAACUUAGUCUUUUUUUAGUAUCCGAGGCUUAGAAUUAUUUUUUCUCAGAAUAGAACUGAUUACAUACACUGGUGUAGCCGAGGUCCUAGGAUUUUUAUGCGACACGGGCACAAUAUUCUACUCAACCAUUGCCCCCCAGGUUUUUAAUGUUCAAGGUGCCAAGUACUUUAAAUUAAGAGUCCAUUACCCAGAUAAUCACUCAACUUUCCGAAAUUAUCUAUCAAAGUAAUCUUUAUUUCAUUUGAAACAACAAAGUCAUUUAACUAUGUCUAUAGCACUCAGAAGGUCAAUCAACCAGAUUUAUUAAACUUUUGAUCACCAAAUACUAUUUUACUCUCUAAAUUAUCAAUUUUUAUCGUAUGUUUUUUUCUUUAUUAAUAUUAUGAUUUUUUUCUCUUUUUAAUCAACAUUGUGAACUUACCUAUAGAAAAAAAAUAUUUUUUUAAGAGAAUAAAAAAAAAAUAUAUUUUUCUAGCAUGUAAUGUCGAAAUAAUAAUAUAAUUGAGCAUAAUAUUCAAGAAUAUGUAAUGUAUAUUACAAAAAUAUUUUUUUGAAAUAAUUAUUUUCUAUAGUACGUGCAUGGAAUAUAUAUUUAAAACUUUAUUUUCUUUCAUUCUCAAUUAUGUAAAUAUAUUUUUGAGUUAUUUUGUUUGUUAAUACCAAAAUUAUUGUUGCGAACAAAUUGUUCUAAUUAACUUUCUACUAUGCUCAAUAUUUUAUUAUUCCAACACUAUAUAUGCUUAAAUACUAUUUUAAUUUUUCUAAUUAUCAAUAAAAUUUAUUUAUUUUAAGGUAAGUCCAUAAUAUAAAUUAAAAAGAGAAAAAAUUUAUUAUAUUAUAAAGCUAAAAAAAGAAGAAGAUAAAAGUUGAUAAUUUAGAGGGUAAAAUGGGUAUUUGACGAUCCAAAAUUUGAGAAAUCUAGUUGAGUGACCUUCUCAGUGCUAUUGACAUAGUUAAGUAACUUUGUUGUUACAAACGGAAGAAAGAUGACUUUGGUAGAUAAUUUCGAAUAGUUGAGUAACCAUUUAAGUAAUGGACUUUUUAACUUAACCAUUUUCAAGGUAUAUACAUAUACAGGAUUUCUGCCGAAGCUUACGGUGCCCACUGACUCCUCACUAUAACACAUAUUCACCACUAGAAAACUGGCAAAAUUCGUCCAAAGAAUAUCGACCGAAGUCGGUCGAAAAAACCGACUGAAAUCGAUCGAAAAUUAAGUAAAUUGGUCGCAAAAGUCAAAAAAAAUAUUUCUGACAACGGAAAUAGUGGCCCCAUAGAAAAAAAAAUUCGUUUGAUUUCGGUCGGAACUUGGUCAAUAUUUGACCAAGACCUAGUCAUACUAGUAUAUAAUCUACUAAAAUAAUUUUUUAUUAAAAUAUUUCAAAAUUUUCGACCAAUUUUGGUCGGAAUAUUUGAAAUUAUGCUUUCCCGCACAAGGCAAUUGGUUUUUAAUAUAAAAAAAUUAUAUAUAUUUAAUUUACCAACCGAAAUAAGUUAUAAUUAAAUAUUUCUGACUUAGUUUGAUCGGAAAAAUAAUUUUAAAAUAAUUAAAAUAUAAAUUNNNNNNNNNNNNNNNNNNNNNNNNNNNNNNNNNNNNNNNNNNNNNNNNNNNNNNNNNNNNNNNNNNNNNNNNNNNNNNNNNNNNNNNNNNNNNNNNNNNNNNNNNNNNNNNNNNNNNNNNNNNNNNNNNNNNNNNNNNNNNNNNNNNNNNNNNNNNNNNNNNNNNNNNNNNNNNNNNNNNNNNNNNNNNNNNNNNNNNNNNNNNNNNNNNNNNNNNNNNNNNNNNNNNNNNNNNNNNNNNNNNNNNNNNNNNNNNNNNNNNNNNNNNNNNNNNNNNNNNNNNNNNNNNNNNNNNNNNNNNNNNNNNNNNNNNNNNNNNNNNNNNNNNNNNNNNNNNNNNNNNNNNNNNNNNNNNNNNNNNNNNNNNNNNNNNNNNNNNNNNNNNNNNNNNNNNNNNNNNNNNNNNNNNNNNNNNNNNNNNNNNNNNNNNNNNNNNNNNNNNNNNNNNNNNNNNNNNNNNNNNNNNNNNNNNNNNNNNNNNNNNNNNNNNNNNNNNNNNNNNNNNNNNNNNNNNNNNNNNNNNNNNNNNNNNNNNNNNNNNNNNNNNNNNNNNNNNNNNNNNNNNNNNNNNNNNNNNNNNNUGUGUGUGUGUGUGUGACGAGCAAUAAAGCUUAUACAAUUCAUAUCAUGAAAUCUCAGUAAAAUACAACAAGCCUUUAAAAGCGUAGUUUGGAUCAACUCAGCUUAUUUAAAUCCAGAUUCAGUAAAAUCGUUUUUAAAAUGUCUUUCAACAGUUUUCAAACAAAGGCUUAAUGCAGUCGUGAGCAAAAAUGAUGAAAUCAUGAACAGCCCCAGGCAAACAUCACUCGUAUACAGCCCCUCAGGCAAACAUAAAUUAUAAAUAGCCACUCGGGCAAACAUAAAUUAUAAAUAGCCACUCGGGCAAACAUGAAUCAUAAACAACCCUUCGAGCAAACCUCACCAUCACUCAUAUACAGCCCCUCGGGCAAACCUCACAAUCACUAGUAAACAGCCCCUCGGGCAUAACAUCACUCAGAAUCAGGGUACCCGUGCUCACCGGGGGUGUGCAGACUCCGGAGGGGCUCCUUCAGCCAAAACGCUAUAACAGGCCAUCUCGUGGCAUAAAUCAAUCAGGCCCUCGGCCUCACUCAAUCAUGAAUCAGUAACAACAUGAUGCAGCGUGCAACCCGAUCCCAUAAAUAUCCUCACAAAUCAGGCCCUCGACCUCACUCAGUCAACAACCUCUCAAGCCACUCGGACUAUCAGUAACAACAUUGUGCUCAGUCCAAAACAAUAUUUUAUAUGCAUAAAAUAAAUGUAAUAAAGACUAAGUUAUGAAAUCAAUAAAUAUAACAUGACUGAGUAUAGAUUUUCAACCGAAACAGUGAGAGGAUAGUAAGAAAAAGGCCCCUAAGGGUCCAAACAACUCUGGCACAAGGCCUAAAUAUGACAUUCAACCCAAUUUAUAGAAAUUCUUUCUAAAACACAUAAGUAUCAUAUAGUUUCAACCAAAUACGCAACUUAUGGUUGCUAAGGGGCGAACCAAGUCACAAUCCCCAACAGUGCGCGCCCACAUGCCCGUCACCUAGAAUGUGCGUCACCUCAAAAUAGUAAAACGAUACGAAAUCCGGGGUUUCAUACCCUCAGGACUAGAUUUACAAUCGUUACUUACCUCAAACCGGUCAAACCUCUACUCCGCGAUGCUCUUGCCCCUCGACUCGGCCUCCAAUCGCUCCGAAUCUAUUCACAACCAGAACAAUACCAUCAAUAUACGCUAAUGGAAUGAAUUCCACAAGAAAAAUUAUCAAAUUAGGCACAAAUCCCAAAAUCCACUCAAAAUUGGCCCUCGGGCCCACGUCUCGGAAUUCGACAAAAAUCACAAAACUAGAAAGCUCUUUCACUCACGAGUCCAUACAUACAAGAUUUAUCAAAAUCCGACUCCAUUUGACCCCUCAAAUUCUCUAUCAAACUCUCCAAAAAUUCUAAUCCCUAACCCCUCAUUUUCACCCUUAAUCUUCACAAAUUACAUGAUUAAACAACGAGAAAUCAUCACAUAUAUGAGUAUUAGGGCUCAAGCCAUUUAUCUUACUGAUAAACCCUUGAAUUCCUCCUCAAAAUCGCUCUCAAAAGGUCCAAAACCGACUAAAAAUGAAAUGAACCAAAAUUCGCAAAGUCCACAAUUUAUACUUCUGCCCAGAGGUACCGCAUCUGCGGUCAAAAUGUCGCUUCUGCGACGCCGCACCUGCGGAAAAUCUAUCGCAGGUGCGGUUCCCACUUAUGCCCUCAGAACCUGCUUUUGCGAUCACAACACUGCACCUGCGGCUCCUGCCUCAGCUCUCCAAGAUUCCGCACUUGCGGUUCACCUUUCGCAUCUGCGAUCAUCGCACCUGCGGGUCCCACUCCGCAGGUGCGGAGACAUCAGAAGCAUCAACUUCAGCUGCCUUAUUCCACUUUCUAACUCUCCGUUAACCAUCCGAAUUCAUCCUGAGGCCCUCAGGACCUCAACCAAAAAUACCAACAAGUCACAUAUCAAGAUACGAACUUAGUCGAACCUUCAGAACACUCAAAACAACAUUAUAAUACCAAAACAUCCUCAGAUUCAAGCCUAAGAACUUCUAAACUUCCAGAUUUCGCAAAUGAUGCCGAAACCUAUCAAACCUUGUCCGAAUGACCUCAAAUUUUGCACAUACAUCACAAAUGAUACCACGAACCGACCCCAACUUUCGAAAUUCCAUUCCAACCCCGAUAUCAAAAUUUCCACUAUCGACCGAAAAUCGCCAAAUUUUCAAUUUCGCCAAUUCAAGCCUAAUUCCAUCACGAACCUCCAAAUCACAUUCCGGACGCGCUCCAAAUCCAAAAUCACCUAACGAAGCUAACCAAAUCAUAAAAAUCCAAACCCGAGAUCUAAUACUAAAAAGUCAAAAACUUAGUCAAACCUUUCAAAUUUAAAGCUUCAAGUUGAGAAUCAUUAUUCUAUAUCUAUUCCGAUUAACCUGAAAACCAAAACCGACGAUUUACAUUAGUCAUAAUACAUCAUACAGGGCUAGUCAAGCCCGAGAACUGGCGAGCGAAGUGCAAAUGCUUAAAACGACCGGUCGGGUCGUUACAUACUCCCCUACUUAAACAUAUGUUCGUCCUCGAACGUGUCCAGAGUUGUACCAAAAGCCAUCAAAUUGCCAUGUAUCCUCACUAUGCAUAUACCCAGGGUGAUCCCACGUCGUCCUAUCCCAUAUGGGUCCGAUAACACAACAUAACUGAAAUUUCACAAUCCAACCUAGCCCAUAAAUCUUAGAACCAAAUUUUCACUUCCGAAAUCAUCUAUAAGAUCAGAAUCUCAUAUCUAUACACUGUAUAAGUUUGAACAAGCUGUAUCAAACCAUAUCCGUAACCCAAGAUAAAUCACAUAAUAUACCACAUAACUCAAACACUCGUAGCGAUAACUUUUAAUCACAACAGCUGCUCAAACAACCUAAUACCGGUAAUAAAUCUUUUAUCAAACAAAACCUCAUUCCAACACUUUCGUAUACUGCCAAUGAUGAAAGAAACAUGCAAAAAUCAUAAUCAUUCCUCGGAUCAACCAGUCAUGGAGUUCCCUUUCCUUCGGCAAGAACCAUAGUAAAUUUCCAAGCCGAAUUUCGAUAUUAUCAUGCAGAAAUCGAAUUAGAUAGUAUUCAUUCUAGGUCUAAUGACCUCUUCUCAUCCAACAUGACUAUUCUGGUGACAUGACACAUCAAUACAAUCUAAAUCCACAACUCGUACAAUCCACGCACCAAUAAGCAACAAUCCAAAUAUACUCAAAUUAUGGAAAAAUGACUCAAAUGAGAGAGCUGUAUCGCAAGUUCACCAGUACCACCACAACACGAUGCUAAGAACCCAUCACACACUGUAGAAACAGAACACAUGAAUCUAACCCGAAGGAUCAUACCUCCACAUAACUUCGCUACAAAUGCGCGACCCUAUCCAAACACCGAUCUACAUGAAACACCUCAAGUUACCAUGCUCAAAAUCAACAACUAAUGAUACCCAAUUUUUCCUAUAAUGUUUUCAAAACUAUGCUUUGGCAUAAAUUAGCAUUUUUAAUACAAUUUCUGCAUUUUAAAAUAUUUUUACUAAUUUCUUCGAGCAUUUUAUUUAUAAAACAAUCACUAAUUGUAUCACAAAUGGUUUUAUAAUAAUUUUUGUGGUUUAAUUUUAUCAUUUGCAUUUGUACUAAGUUUCAAUUAUUGUAUAAAUAGUCCACUUUUGUAUUUUUAGGAUUGCAAUUUGCAAUUACUUUGCAAUUAUAGCCUAUGCAUGCAGUAUUACAUUAUUUCACUAGAAAAUAGCCCUUUACAUUUUUUAAAUAUUAAGUAAUUAUUUUUGAAUAUUUCUAGGCAUGAAAAUAUUUUAUUUUACAGCUUAUUAGGUAUUUUUAAAAAUUAUUUAUCAAUUAAAUCGGGUAUUUAACAAAUAGCACCUUUAACCAUAAUUAAAUUUGGACCCUUGGCCCAAUCAAAUACACCCCUAUCCCAAUUAAAACCCCAACCUAAUUAACCUAACCCAAAACCCUAACCCAAUUUUAUAACCCGUCCCAGCCCGGAACCAAUCUUGGCACAGUCCAAAACAAACCUUCCUUUUUUAUCAAACCUAACCCCCCGAAACCCUAAGCCAUUUUCACCAAACAACCGCACUGAAACCCCCUUUCCUAUCCAAUUCUCUCUGAGACCUAAGCCUAACCCUAGCCUCCGCCACCCAAAACCAGCCCUAAUACCUGUAAUUUCUACUCGAUCUAUGGCUUCCCAUGUCUGUAAGAGGCCUCUACUUGUCUCAUAUCUCCCUGGUUGUUCAAUUGUGUGGUUUUUGUGAAAGAACCUCGAAGAGAUCUGGUCCAGAUCUCGUUUAAGGCUUUUCAAGAGUUUGUCCAUGGUCUAUGAGUGAUUUCUAUCGAAGUUUCACAGUUCAAAUUCUUGAUUCAAAGGCCAGAUUCUCUUAUCCUUUCUCUUUUCUUCAAGAAACCCAAUGUCUGGACUUGAAUCAGUUCAGAUCUCCGUAGAUCUGGAACGAUCCUGAGUUUAUCGUUGAUUUUCCUAAAAGUUCCUUUACUUCUUUACUAGUUAAUCGAUGUCUGAACAUUUUUUGUUAUAUUAGGAUUUGUUUUCUUGUUGUUUGUUGGUCGAACCUCUAGGUAUCUGAAUUAAACAUCCAUGGCUACUCUUCUGGGUUCUUUUACUCCUUUAGUACUGACCGAUUUUUAAACACUACAAUACUUCAGGUUUUGACUUCUAUGACUUCUGUUUGUUCAAAUCUCUGUAUGUUGACAUGCCUUCGAGUUUUCUUCUUUAAGUGUUUUCAAACUAGGGUUUCAUCCCUUUAAGUUUUCUGCAAAAAUUCUAAGGCGUAAUACAUACGGAGACACCUAAAGUUGGCACAAUCUUUCACUUAGACACUUAAACUAGACCUCUUUCCGAUUAGACACGUUUCUUAGGCAAUUCUCAUACCAAUUAGACACGUUUUUUGCUGGCUUAUUAAUUAACCAAGCGCGUGUUCUGCAAUCUCCGUUUACGUGGCAAAAGUAACCAUUAUAAAUCAUGCCACAUCAUUUUAUUUGUCCACCUCACUGUCCACAUCAUCUAUAUAGUGUUAUUUCCGCUAAAAUACAGAUAACUAGCCCUAAACAAACAUCUAAACAUAUUACCAUUGUUCUUUUUACCUUCGAUGAAAACGAAGAAAGGUCCUACCACUGUUAAUCUUCUUCUUCUUUUUGUCAAUGGUGUUAGAUUCUAGUAUUUCCACUGAUUUCUCACCGUAUUUACAACGCUUCAAGGUCCAAUCUCUCCUUAUUUUCUAUUGCUACAGCUAGGGCUAAGUAAUCUGUAAAUUAUUUCUCAAGCUAGGGUUUUUUGGGGUUUUCCUUUGUGCUGGUCCCUUGUCGUCUUAUGUAAGGGAAUAUUAUAGAGGAUGCCUAUAUUUUAACUCGCUUUCACCAUGGGGGUACAUUUAUCGAGCAACCUGUCCCACUAUACAAAGGGGAAUUAGAUGCUUUUGCUGUUGCUAUCGAUAAAGACCAUUUUAGUGUUGUCGAGUUGUCUGCUUAUGCUAAAGACCUUGGGUAUGCAGUUGUCGAAGGGUUUUAUUGUCAAAAGGAAAAAGAUGGUGAUUUUAUCAAAGUCUUUUCUGAUUUUCAGUUAUAUGAAUUUGUGAAAGAUUUAAAACAUAGUGAUAUUUUGGAUGUUUAUUUGCGUCAUGGUGUGAGUCAGCCUGAAGUAGUCGAAGAAAAUGUUGGUCUUUUAUGUGGGGCAGAAGUAGGUGGGGGUGGUAAUGACCAAUUUAAAGCUAGGGCAACACCUGGGAGUAAUACAAAUACUGAAGAACCUAUUGAGGCGCCUACUGAACCAACUCACAAUGCUGCUGAACCACCUAUUGAGCCUCCUAUUGAACUAACUUUGAAUGAUGCUGAACCAAAUCACAAUUCUUCUGAACCAACUGUAAAUGCUGCUGAUGGAGAUGAACCACCAGACCAUAAUGUUAAUGAAGAUGGAGUGCAAUCAGAUGUUGAGAGUAGUGAAUCAGAAGAAGAUGUUCUUCCAGAAGAAGAUGAUUCAGAUGUUGAUGAUGAAUAGAGAUCUCUAAGGGCUGAAAGGAGGAGCAAGAGGCAGGGUAAGCAGAGGAAAAAACCAAUUGCAACAGAUGAGAUACCACUAGGAGAAGCAGGUAUUGACAGAGUAUUUGAGGAUAUUGGAAGAAACAAGACUUCAAGAUAAGUAGGUAAAUUAGGUGGUGAUGAGUAGUUUAUUGAUAGUUCAGAGGCUGUUAGUGGAGAUAGCAUAGAAGAGUUAGAUCCUGAAGCUAUUCCUGGUGUUGAUAUACCAGCAAGAAGGAGGAGUACAAAAGUCAGGUAUGAUCCUGAUUGUGAAGUUGCUAUAUUUGAACUUGGGAUGAUUUUUGAGAAUGCUAUAGAGUUUCGGAAAGCAUUAGCAAAUUAUGCAAUUGAAUACAAGGUGCAGAUUAAAUUGAGACCAAAUGAACCACAUAGGGUGAGGGCUAAGUGUAAAUCAAAGAGAUGCAAAUGGGUGUGUUAUGCUUGUAUUGAUAGAGAUUCAGGUGAUUUUAAAGUAAAGAACUACUACCCAGUACACAAAUGUGAUACUUCAAACAAGAAUAAGUUGUGCACUUCAAAGUUUGUUGCAAAGAAAUUCAAAGAUGAAAUAACUAAGAAGCCCUACAUAAGGAUAUGUGAAAUACAGGAGUUGUGUAGGGACAAGCUAGGAUUGUAUGUUGGCAAGACAAUUUGUUAUAGGGCUAAACUGCGUGUUCUCAGAGAGUCCAUGUGUGAUUGGAAUAUGGAGUUUGCAAGGUUAUGUGAUUAUGCUGAUAUGAUAAAACAGACCAAUCCUGGUAGCUCAUGUUGGGUAAGGAUAGACAGUGAAACUGAGCCAGGAAAAAAUCUCUUUGUUUACUUUUAUGUGUGCUUUGAUGCAUUGAAGAAAGGUUGGUUAGAAGGAUGUAGGAGAAUCAUAGGUUUUGAUGGUUGUUUCUUAAAGGGUGCUUGUAAAGGUGAGCUUCUAGUUGCUGUUGGCAAGAAUGGAAAUAAUCAAAUAUUUCCUAUAGCAUGGGCAGUUGUGGACCAGGAGACAAAACAUAACUAGAGUUUUUUCAUCAACUACUUGAAAGAUGAUUUGCAAUUGGGAACUGGAGAAGGAUUGACUGUAAUGGCAGAUAUGCAAAAGGUAAGUAUUCUGUUCUGUUGUCUCUUAAGUAGCCUAUUAAGUAAUUUUGGUAUUUGAUGUUCAUUAAUGUGAUACGUUCAGUUGUUAAGUACUUAAGUAUUCUGUUAUUUUGUUAAGUAAUCAGUAUUCUGCUGCUGUUAAGUAUUCAAUUUUGUGUAGUAAUAUGCUGCUGUAAUUUGAAUUAAUUAUUGUGUAGGGAUUUGCUGCAGCUUUGAAUGAAGUUUUACCUAAUGCUGAAUUUAGGAUGUGUGCCAGACAUAUAUGGUCUAAUUGGCAUAAGAAAUGGAAAGGAGAGGAAAGGAGAAAACAGUUUUGGAGGUGCUCUAAAUCUAGUUAUGAAGUUAAGUUUAAAGAGGAGCUUGAGAAAAUGGACAAACUUGGUAAGGAUAUUUGUAGGGAUUUGUUAUAUUAUCCAAAAAAGUCAUGGGUUAGAGCUUAUUUUGAAGUGCAUUCCAAGUGUGAUGUUGUUGAAAAUAAUAUGUGUGAGACCUUUAAUUCAUGGAUUUUAGCUUCUAGGCAUAAAUCAAUUAUAACUAUGUUGGAGGAGAUUAGAAGGAAAAUAAUGACUAGGCAAGUGGAUAUGUUGAAAUUUGCUGAUACUUGGAUAUCUGAUAUAUCACCUAUGGCAAGGCUAUUGUUAGAGGAUAGCAAAGACCUUGCUAGAAAAUGUACUGUCCUUUGGAAUGCUGAUGUUGGAUUUGAGAUUGGAGAAGGGCUGCAUAAGCAUGUAGUUAAUCUGACUGAUAAGGUUUGCACUUGUAGAGCUUGGCAGUUGAGGGGUAUUCCAUGUCAACAUGCUGUUCUUGCAUACUAUCACAUAAACGAAGAACCUGAACAAGCAGUAGAGCAUUGGUAUAAGAGGGAUACCUUCUUAAAAGCAUACAAGUAUUUCAUCCAGCCUAUGACAAAUAUGAAGAUGUGGUCUGAAACCAACAAUCCUAUGAUAGAGCCUCCCAAACCUAAACCCAUGCCUGGUAGACCUCAGAGGAACAGAAGAAAAGGCAAAGAUGAACCAAAAAAGAAAUAUGGAAAGUUGUCCAAGUGUGGAGUGAAAAUGACAUGUUCCAAGUGCCAUCAACAAGGACAUAACAAAAGAUAUUGUAAGGUAAAUGUUUCUUGUCAAAUAUUUCCUGUUUCCAUCACAUGUUUCCUGUUGUUCAUAUGAAUGUAGUAAUCUGUUUCCAUCACUGUUAUUCACUGAUGUUGCUCAAUGUUAUGUAGGCUGAAAAUUGGAUGCAUUCACAACAAGGUAGCCAAAGCUCACAAGGUGCUAGCCAACCUGAUGCAGCUGGAAGCUCAAGCCAACCUACAAACUCUAUGUGCUUUGAUACAACAAGGGUUAGAAGGGUUAAUGAAGCUAGAAGCUCAAGCCAACCAACACCAAGUUCAACAGAUUCGAGUAGGCCUUCUAGAAGAGGAUUAGGUAGUCAACUUCCUCCAAAGGGUAAAAAAACUACCAGCCAAAAGAGAGGAAGGGGUGCAAGUCAAGAAGAUGCUGAAAAAGGAGCACAAAAAAGGUCCAAAAAUGUUGGAUUUGGCAUCUACACAGCUGCAAGUGGAACUCAAAUAUUAAAGGUAUAUAAUCAUACAUGUUUCAUCUAUAAUAUGACUUACAAAUAACUUACUGAUUAUGGUUCAUUAUUUGGCAAACUGCAGCCCGAAACAUCAAGCCAACGAGUUAUGGUAAGUGGUUCAACUUAUAAGAGUGCAGCUCCAACAAGAAUUGACCUUGGUUUUAAGGCUAGAGGCUUGAGGUGGAAGGGUCAAGAUGCUGUCACAACUUCCCAGUUGCAGCAGAUGAAGGCAAACUUCAGCAAGAAGUAGUAUCUUAGGAACUUAUUUUGUCUAUAUGUUAUGUAGCAGCAACCUAUUAUAUUUUGGGAUCUAGUUUUUGAAGAAACUAAACUUUAAGUUGUAUUCAGUCGUGUAAUCUUACUGUUCUGUUUUGGAUAUAUGUUAUGCAGCUGCAACUUCAGCCUUAUUUUGUUUGUUUUGGCAGAAUAAUUACUCUAUGUUCUAAAUAAUUACUCUAUAAUGCAGCAACUUUAGUCUAUAUGUUCUGCAUUUUGAAACAACAUCUUAUGGUUCUAUGCCUUGUACAGAAGUUGUAUAUUACAGCACUUUCAAAAUUCAGCAACUAUAAAUUAAAACAACGGUUUCAACAUCUGAAUAUAAACAGAAGUUUAUAACAAAAUUCAGUUGUAUUUAUACAACAUCUGAAUAUUACAACAACAGUUUCAAAAUAGAAAUUUAAAGCAACAACAGAAAUCCGUCUUCUUUUUGCUCAUCAGUCAACCAAAAUUCAUCAGUCAUACAGUUUCCAUAAAACGACCAACAAUACAACAACAAUCGUCAAAAGGAUCCGUCUUCUUUUUGCUCGAACUUUCUCCUCUUCAAAAGCUUUGACUCUCUUUAAUAAACCCCAAAUUAUAUUCUUUGCUUGAGUAGGCAUCUCAUUGUCAUACCAACAGAAAUAAUCACAUCCACCCUUUUUCUACAAAUAUCACAAAACACUUUUAAUCAAUUUUUAUCAAAGAAAAUAAUUCAUAAAACAAAAUUUACAAAUUAUGAACAAACAAUUUACCUUUCUGAUUUUGCAAGCAAAAAACCUACGACCUGGAUUUAAUUGGGUCCAAGAAGUAUUCAACUUUGGAGAAACACCACACUUAUAGAUUCGAGCAGCAACGCAAGGUGACAUUGACGAGUUCGUCAAUUCCGAGAAGUUCGACAUUAAUAAACACAACAACAACAGAAAUGAGAGGAAGAAGAGAAGAGAAGAAAUUAAUUGAUACCAAGAAGAGAACAGAAAUGAGAGAAAGAAGAGAAGAGAAUAAAAGAUUUGCUGGAGAAUUGCUGGAGAAAUCUAAGAAGAAGAGAAGAGAACAAAUAGGUUUUUUAAGAAUUGGGAAAGGGAUUAGAGUUUAAAUAAUAAUUGACAAUCCAUGUUACCGUUAUGUGUCUAAUUGGGAAAGGAAAAGUCACUUUUUGGAAUCCUUCACGCGCCUAAAUGGGUUUGAAGUCACGCUAUAUGCCACCAGCAAAAAACGUGUCUAAUUGGCAUGAGAAUUUCCUAAGAAACAUGUCUAAUCGGAAAAAGGUCUAGUUUAAGUGUCUAAGUGAAAGAUCGUGCCAACUUUAGGUGUCUCCAUAUGUAUUACGCCAAAUUCUAAAGUGUUUGACUGUGGUUCUCUUUACUUGUUCGACUGAUUUUUCAUAUUUAUGUUUUAAUCCCUAGGGUUUCUACUUAUUUCACUGCCUAUUUCAAUAUUUUGCCCGUUAUUCAUUAAUUCUGUCAAUUAAAAGGGAUUGACUGAUUUUAUUUACCUAAUUAGGGUUCAAAUUAUAUUUUUUGCCAAGAUUGGUACUUCUCUGUGAUUUCUUUCCUUAUUUGUGACUCAUGAUUGGUACUUUUUCCUUAAUUGGUUUAUUAGCCUGAUUUAUGGGAUUUAAUUGCUUUAACCGACUCCUAGAGGGUAUUUGAUUGAUUUAUUUACCUUAUUGAACCUGUAACUUGGCUGUUAAUUGAUUCUCCCUAAUUUAAGGGGUGCUUUUCGGAUUCUGUUGAAUUAUUUGAUUGGGUUUAGCCCCAAUUAACUAUUUAAUUUUACUUGCAUACCUUAUUUGGAACUCUUAAUUAUUCUUUGCCUUAUUUGUUUUACUCUGCUAAGUGCUAUAUAAUCUCCCCAUUCCGACUUUUGAAAAGGACACAAACAUUAGUUCAUCAAUACUCUCACUCUCUCAAAAGCUCUUUAUUCUCUUCUGUUACUUUCAAUUCUCACUAACCUAGCCGGUUGUAAGCCAAGGCUAGCUUAUGUACUCUAGCCCUUCAAAAUACUCUAGUUGUGUGUAUUGGUCAUGUCUAAGACUUAUGUGUUCUCAACAUGUCUUUGUUGUAAUCUUUGUAACUAACUUGUCAAUUCCACAACCUCUUGAGAAAUUUGUGUAUUUGUUUGAUUAUACACUAGGUUGUAUUCUAUUUGUCCCCCAACCCCUCUCUCUCUCCAUGUGUGGAACCUGUUUGCCCCAAAAUGUUUUUGAAACUGUGUGUUUUGUGACUUGUAUUCUGAUUUCAGAAAAUGUUUUUUCAUACUUUUCUCAAACUAUUUACCACCCUAACUAGUACUGGUUUAAGAAAAGUUUUUCACUUCUAAGGACCUCUUGCUACUGUUUAUCAAAAUACUUUCAAAUCAGGUCAAGCACUCUCACUUAUUCUUAGGUUAUUAAGUUCUGCCCCUCUGGUAUGUGUACUGCUUAGAGGUCCCUGAGAUCUCUCUAAACUCUGGCAUAUCAGGGCUGACACUUCUACACUGCACAUAAUCAGUCUUUAUUUGAGGAAAGUNNNNNNNNNNNUGGAACUUUGGGCAUUUGAGACUAGUGAAGGCUUGGUACACCAGGAUUGCUUUGGGCCUGCUUCAGGCUCCCCAUAGCUUAACUUCUAUUCUAUUUAUGUAAAUUUUAUUCAAUCAUUGGUCUGUAAUAAUUAAUUAUAAAUAGAUAAUGGGGUGACUAGUGAAAAUGGGGGUAGUUGUAUAAUAUGGGUAAAGCUGGGUAGAUAACAUGCCUAUAGGGUUCAUUUGGUUCAAAUGUGUUUAAUUAGAUAACAUGCCUAUAGGGUUCAUUUGGUUCAAACGUGUUUUAUUAGAUAACAUGCCUAUAGGAUUCAAAUGUAUUUUGUUAGAUAAUAUGCCUAUAGAAUUUUGCUUUGGUUCAAACAAAUUCUGCUUGCUUUACUUUACAUAAUUAGAAGUCAUGCCUAAUAUCAGCUUUAAUUAUAGAAAUCAUGCCUAUAGGAUCUAAAACCAGUUUAUUUAGAUCUAAAAUCAGUUUAAUUUUAACUCACGCCUGUAAGUUCUAAAUCAGAUUAACUGACCUACUCAUUUCUUUAAUAGGCUUCAACGCUGCAUUAAUUAUUAUUACUAGAAAGCAUGCCUAUAGGAUCCAGAUUGCCCGCUUUAAAAUGGUUUACUGCAUUCCUGAUUAAUGAUUAGAUACAAUGCUUAUAGGAUAUCACUAUUACAUGCCUAGGCAAGCCUAUAGGUCGAUUAAAAUCCUGCAAACUAUAAAACAAUGCUCUAUUAUUUGUGACUGCUCAUAUGCAACAGGUCUAAAAUCAGUAGGCAAACUAAAUAGGUCUUUGACACUUUGGUCCUAACUCAAUACUGCAUAUUCUCUGCUCACCUAGAUAUCAUGUUCUAGGGCUUCUUUUAAAUACCUAAAACUGUGUUUAAGACUUGCACUUGCUUGCUCUGUUUGUGGAGGUAAAACUUGAGCCUUUAAUUGUUCUAUCUUUGGUCCAAUCCUAAUUGUUUUUGGUUGUCGCCUAGACUUUUCUCCUUUAAGUACCUUAGGAUAGUCUAGAACUACCCAAAUUAGAGGUCUUAAAUACCUCAUGUCCACAAGGAAGGGACGGGUAGUGCACACAUAUGAUAUAUUUUAAGGUUUCUAGAACGCUUAGGCUAUGACCAAUGAGAGCGAAUUGGGUAGUAAAGAUAUGAUGACUGCGCGCUAAUGUCACGUGUAACCCCUCAUUGAGGAAUGAUUACCGGGAAUUGCAUGGGUGUGAUCCUGUAGGCUAANNNNNNNNNNNNNNNNNNNNNNNNNNNNNNNNNNNNNNNNNNNNNNNNNNNNNNNNNNNNNNNNNNNNNNNNNNNNNNNNNNNNNNNNNNNNNNNNNNNNNNNNNNNNNNNNNNNNNNNNNNNNNNNNNNNNNNNNNNNNNNNNNNNNNNNNNNNNNNNNNNNNNNNNNNNNNNNNNNNNNNNNNNNNNNNNNNNNNNNNNNNNNNNNNNNNNNNNNNNNNNNACUUUAUUUGCGAAUAUGUGUUGAAAAUAUUUACUUGUAAAAUGACUAAUUCACAUAAUUUAAGUUCGGCCGGGACCCACCGUUAUGGACCGCGAGGGGUGCCUAACACCUUCCCCUCAAGGUUAUUUCGAGCCCUUACCCUAAUCUCUGGUAAUGCAAACUAGUUCAUGAGUUAAUUUCUCUAGGUGCCCUAACACACCAUAAUCCGUUAGGUGGCGACUCUUCAAAUACCCAACUCCCAAAAGGAAAUCACUUGUUCCCCCAUGAAUGUCGAAACCCGGACUUUCCCGUCAAAAAGGGAAAAAAUGGGGCGCGACAACAUGGCGACUCUGCUGGGGAUAUUUUAGGCUCUUACCAUAACGAACUUAUUUUUGUGAAUUAGUCCAAGCAUGCUUCAUCCCACGUACCAUUUCCCCUUAUUUGAAUCUAAUUGUCCAUUUUUCAAAGCAUUUGUGAUUCUUUUAUUCUUGAAACUGACUUGUCUCUUUGUUUUCUUUUCUAUAACUGUCUUUCAAUUAUUUAAAUAUUGCAUUUAUUAUUUUCUUAAGUGCAAAUACUUGACAAAAUGCUAUUUAUUAUUGCAUAAAUCAUGCUCAACAUCAUACUCCACUCGUGCGUAACCAAUCCUAUAGCAACGCUUGAUACGUGUUUGCGCUCUUCCUAUAUAUCACCCUUAAAAUUCGGAAAGGCGUAUUUGCGGUAAAACUAGUCGAUCAGCAGUACGUUCGAUGGUUACGUGCCUUUCCCCCUCAAAUUGUCCACUUGAGGUCCAAGUCUAGAUCUCUAUAGCAGUCUUAAUCUUAUUAAGUUGUACAUGCAUCAUAGUCAAACCUAGCUGGGUUAAUAUGUUAACCGCAUAAUAACCCUUUAAGACGAGCCUUGUCCAAAAGUCCAUCAGGUUUUUCAUAAUCCCAACGGACGUAACCACGAUUAUGUGCAUUAAUUUGGAGAAAUAAAGUUCCAAUAUGCUAAUCAUUACUGUAUAAAUAGAUGAACCUGGAGGGGGAAGGGCCUAACUCUCUUUGCUUUGCAGAAAUUGAGGCACGAAGUCCCCAGAUUCGGUGGUUGGUAGCAUACCCUCACUCUUGCUAGAUUGGUGGAUGGAUCUUCCUUAAUUUGACCAAAACCAUGUGAAACGAGUCUUAGGAAACUUGCCUUCUCUAUUGGACCUUCAUCCCAACAAAAUGUUGAUCGAGGUUGAAACUAUGUUUUGGGACAAGGAAAGGGUUGUGUUCCGUUUUGGGAACAUAGAAAUAACUUCCCUUCUAGAAGAAAUAGAAGGAUUUGGUAGGUUGCCUUGGGAUAGCCCUAAUCUGUUAGCACCUGAAAAUUGCACUGCUAAGGGAUUUCUGAAGAAGAUGGGGCUGGAGAAGAAUGAUAACUUGAAAUGCCUAAAGGACUCCUACAUACCUUUUUGAUUUCCUUUAUGAAAGAUACAACCACAACAGCUCUUACCGUAUUUUUGAUGAUGAGUUCUCAAUCACUUCUUUAGGUUGGAUUCAUCAUAGGGUCUUCGUGUUUAUCAUGUAUUUCGUGGGCAUGCUGGUAUUUCCAAUCCAAAGGGAUAGAAUCCAUACUAGGCUGGCCAUGGUGACCAAUGAUAGACAGGAUCAAGGGGGAGACAUACACUAUCGUCCCUAUGAUCGUUGCAGACAUGUACCAGGCUUUAGAGUGAUGUCAUAAGGGGUUCAGGUUCUUCGAGGGUUGCAACUUGCUGCUAUAGGUCUGGUUGUUGGAACAUCUCCAAAAGGGACAAUACAAUCAAGAAUUUCCGCGAAGGCCGUGGAAUGAUCACAUAGCCUUCCAUCAUCCCAAAAGAAUGAACUAUAUUCCAGACAUGUUUGCUCAGCUAGAGGAUGUUGUGGGAUGUGUAUAGCUUUUCGAAAAUUUGAUCAAGGAUCAAGUUUAGUAGAUGUUCAAGUGGUUCCCUACCGAUGAGUUCAUCAUCAGAUCCAGAGAUUUUCCACACUUGGUGUUGAUUGGGUUGAGGGGCAUAUACCCAUACGCUCCUCUCAGGGUUAGAAGACAAGCAGGCAGGAGACAGAUCAUACCACAUGUCGCUAAUAUGUGUCACUUUAGAGCCAAUUUUAGGGGUGACGCCACCCCGUAUAAGAAUGAAGCACAACACAUAUAGACCCUGAAUAUUAUUAUGGAGAAAUAUACUAUCGAUCCAGACUGAUAUCAUGCGGGCCACUCGUACCUUUACCCUUCGUGGAUAGAGGAAAACAUAGUUAGGGUCUUUGAGCCAAGGGCUGGGCUAGGAAACAGGGUCAUAGACGAGGUCGCUGAAGCGGAGGUGAAGUAUAACAAGCUGCGGAAAAGGGUUCGAGAGUCUGAAGCUGAGCAUAUGGCGCUGCAUAAGGCUAACAUGGAGAUGAUUAAUGAGUGGAAAGAAAGAGCUGUUAAAUCUAGCGAGAGGCUGGAAUAUCUGGAGUACAGUUUAAUGGAGUUAGAAGGGAAGAUGAGAAAAAGGGUCACUGACUGCCAAGACGCUGAGGGAAAUGAAGGAGGGCAUCUAGCAAGGGCAUUCCUACUGCUGAACCUGCGCGAGCUGGGAGAGUUGAUCGACAAGAGAAUCCAGUCUGGAGAGGUUCCUUCUGGGACCAAGUAGAUUAGAUUUAUUUUAUUUACUUUCAAAUGUAAUAAGGCCAAGUGACAUUAGUGACAUUAUCUUAUUUAAUCUCAUUUUGGUUCGUUUAUUUUACAUUAAUGAAAUGAGGCAAUUAUUGGCACUAAAACUCUCCAAAUUUAUUUUUUGCUAUGCCUACCUCGGGUACAACGAGGCUCCCAAAUUAGGACGCAAAUUUACAUUCCCGCAAUAUGUGUUUAAAUAUUACAAACAUCUCAGAAUCCUUACUGACUAGUUUAUCUUUUUUUUCUUUAUUUUUUAUUCCCAUCCCCAAGGUUGGUUCAAUCAUACUGGCAUCAUCAGCGUAUCACACCAGAUCUAGAGGCCCUCCUCCUCCUCCAAGUAAUACAAAAGGCUAAGGAAAAACAAAAAUGGACGACUUAAGUGGUAAUGCAGAUAACACAGAAACUUCAGACGGUUGGAGUACUCCGACACCAAAUGAUCUAGUUCUGAGGUUGGAACAAAAGAUAUUGGAGCUACAGGGAGAGCUUAAGCAGGUCCGCAACCUGGCAAAUCCCUCACCCUGAAUGUCCCCGACAUCAACCAACAAAACACAAAGAACCCAACACCUCCCCAAAACACACCAAACCAACAUCCACAAAACCCUCAUGCACCACAUCAAUAUGCAACCCCACCCCAAAAUCUCAAUCCCUUACCAAUACCAACUUCGCCACAACAUCACCAUCAACCAAUUUAGUAUCCACCAAUCGCCACUUAUCAUACUCCCCAGAGCACACCACAACCCAUUCCCGAUCCUCAAAACUCAACCAAUGACCACCAUUACACCCAGGCACCUGGCACUCACCACAACAACCCCAUAUACGUGGAAACCGUUCCUCACUCUAUCCAACCAAUCUCCUAUACACCAUAAUCCUUCGAGAAGGACUUGCUUAUUAAAAACAUAGCUGAAGAACUCAAGAAAUUGAUGAGUCGAGUUCAAGGUGUCAAAGGCGACAAAGGAAUAGAAGGUUUGAACUAUGAAGAUUUAUGCAUACAACCAGAUGUAGAACUGCCAGAGGGUUACAAACCUCCCAAGUUCAAAAUGUUUGAUGGUACAAGUGAUCCCAGGGUUCAUUUGAGGACUUAUUGUGUCAAGCUUGUUGGGGUCGGAAAGGAUGAAAGAUCCGGAUGAAGCUCUUUGUGAGAAGUCUUACGGGAGAUGCUUUGUCCUGGUACAUCAGCCAGGAUCCUAAGAAAUGGUCCAACUAGGUGAGUAUGGUGUCUAAUUUCAUGGAUCGAUUCAGGUUCAACACAGAAAAUGUACCAAAUCUUUUCUACAUUCAGAACCAUAAGAAUAAGCCCACCGAAACUUUCCGCGAGUACACUACUCGUUGGAGGUCAGAAGCAGCCAAGAUUAGGCCAUCUUUGGAUGAGGAACAGAUGAACAAGUUCCUCGUCAAAGCACAGGAUCCAAAAUAUUAUAAAAGGUUGAUGGUUAUUGAAAAUCAUAAAUUUUUUGAUAUCAUAAAACUCGGAGAAAGAAUCAAAGAAUGAAUCAAGAGCGGGAUGGUGACAAACUUUGAAGCAUUACAGGCCACAAAUAAGGCAUUACAAUCAGGCGACAUAUCGAACAAAAGAGACGUUGGGGCAGUAAUGGUGGCUUAAGGCCCGAAAUAUCCACUUACAUAUCAAACACCUCCACUCACAUAUCAAACACCUCCACCCAUAUACCAAGCACCACCACCCACAUAUCAACUUUCAUCUCCCAGAUAUUCCCAAACAACCACUGCCUAUCAUACCUAUAAUUUCCAACCAUCUCAUUUCCAAUCACCUCCAACUCGCCAAAAUUAUCCAAGAACACGACCCAAUUUUGACCGUAUGCCACCCAGACAGUACACCGCCAUUUUUGAACCCAUCGACCAACUAUAUGAAAGGUUGAAAGCCACUAGUUAUUCACCUUUAUUCCUGUUGUGGCAUUAGAGAAUCCAUCUGAAUGGGUCAACCCAAACAAAACAUGUGCAUUCCAUUCCGGUAUGAAAGGGCACACUAUUGACGAGUGCCAAACAUUGAAAGAUAAAAUCCAAACACUGAUUGACAACAAGACUAUACAGGCGAAAGAAGCUGCGCCCAAUAUCCGCAACAACCCCCUCCCUGAUCAUAGGGGUGGCGGGAUAUAUGUGAUAGAAAUGGAUGAGGAAUGGGAUCCUGAGGGGUCAAUCGGGCUCAUUCGAGAAUGUGAUUACUUUAAACCUGCAAUCACACUUACUCCUAUUGUAGUACAAACUCAGUCACUGAUCGAAGUUGAGGUAGCUGCAUCAGUUCCAUUUGAUGUAGAGGUAGCUCUACCUGCGGCCACCCCUGUUCCAUUUGAACUAGAAGUGGACAUACCUUUUACGGUGACAAUAUCAACCACACCUCCUUUCAACUCAAAAGAAAUACCAUGGGAUUAUAUUGCUGAGGCUAGGUAAAAAGGAAAGGCAAAGAUGGAGGAAUCCGAUGCUGUGCAAGGAAUGACCAAGACCAGGAGAAUCUAUACACCUGAACACUUGGGAGGACCAAGUAAGGAUGCUGCUACCAAGAAGCCUGUCAUUGAAAUAGGACCAGAUGACCUUUGGAGGAAAGUGCAAGAAAUGGAAUAUUCCGUCAUUGAUCAUUUGAACAAAUAAACUUAGAUAUCCAUACUAUCACUGUUGCAGAAUUCAGAAGCACAUAAGAAUGCUUUGAUGAAGGUUUUGAGUAAAGCUUAUGUACCCAACAAUAUCACCUGUGGAGAGACGGCCAAUAUGGUAGGUCAGGUGCUAGAAAGUCAUAAGAUAAUCUUCCACGAAGAUGAGCUGCCGCCUGAAGGGUUGAAUCACAACAGAGCAUUGCAUAUCAUAGUGCAAUUUGAACACAAAUUCAUUGUUAGGGUCUUGAUUUGUAGAGGUUCGAGCCUCAAUAUUUGUCUGUUAGAUACUCUGAAAAGAUUGGGCAAAGGUUUCCAUGCAAUACAGGUAGGGAGAAUGAACGUGAAAGCUUCCGAUGGGUCCCAAAGGGCCACGAUUGGGGAAAUUAAUCUUUGUCUACAAAUGGGGCCAACUUGGUUCGAUGUCGAAUUUUAGGUGCUUGACAUAUCAGCCUCACACAAUCUUCUGUUAGGACGACCAUGGAUACAUGCUGCCGGAGCUGUGGCUUCCACACUACAUCAAGCUGUGAAAUUCGAAUAGAACCAUCAGGAGGUGAUCAUUCAUGGAUAUGGGAGUAACCCUAUUUACACCAGUCAAACCAUCCCGGUUAUUGGAAACAGAAGAAGGUUAGGAGGGGAAACCUAUCAUCACAUCGAACGUGUCAAUGUCAUCAAGAAAGACAAAUGGUGGAGUAGAAAAAUAGAAAGCAUACUGGCAUGAUCUAGGUAUGAACCCGACAAAGGGCUUGGGAAGAAUCUCCAGGGUAUUACUAAGCCGAUACAACUGAAGCGUCAUGGUACUACCUUCAGGUUUGGGUACCAGUAUACAUGGAAAGAGUAUAAUGAUUGGUCGCCUCCAUGACACGGACCGUAUUACCCUCUGGAUCAACCAGUUCCACAUCUGGAUCAAGCUUUUCACCAAGCUGAUACAAUAUGGGGAACUGCAGAAGAAGAAGCAUUAGCUGGGCUGAGGAAUCUAUUUUUGGAGGAUGGAGACAUGGACUGCAAUACAAUAAUUGAGGAGGAGGAGGAAGAAGGCCUCACUAUCACUAUUCAGACUGUGGAGAAGGGAGCUGUUCUCAAGAACUAGACCGCCAAUGAGAUACCUGAGGAAGUUGUCAGGGAAGUUGAAAACUUUGAGAAUAAGCCUAAGUCCAACCUGGAUGAAACUGAAGCAGUAAAUUUGGGGGAUGCCGAGACCGUCAAGGAGACUCACAUCAGCAUUCACUUAUCACCGAUAGAGAAAUAAGAAUACAUCUAUUUUCUAAAGGAAUAUGAGGACAUUUUUGCAUGGUCAUAUGAUGACAUGACUGGUUUGAGCACGUCCAAAGUGGCUCACAAGUUGCCUACUAAUCCCAUGUGUCCGCCAAUGAAGCAAAAACUCAGAAAAUUGAAACCAAACAUGAGUCUGAAAAUCAAGGAGGAAGUUACUAAGCAGAUCAAAGCCAAGGUUCUCAGGGUUGUUGAGUACCCAACUUGGUUAGACAACAUUGUACCAGUUCCGAAGAAAGAUGGGAAAGUGUGAUGACCCAAAAGGUCUUCACUUGUUUUAUAAAUAAAUUCUACAUUUCGAGGCCUUAAAAACCUCUUUUUGUCUCACCUUAAUUUGCAUGCACAGUCUGGGUGCAUAGCCGGAAAGCCAUUAUGUGAAAAUCUGUGAAAAAUGCUGAAUUUUGUCUUUAAAAUGAGUUUAAAUUGACUUCGGUCAAUAUUUUGGGUAAACGAACCCGGAUCCGUAAUUUGAUGGUCCCAGAGGGUCCAUAGGAAAAUAUGGGACUUGGUCUUAUGCCCGGAAUUGAAUUCUGAGGUCCCCAAGCCCGAGAAAUGAAUUUUUGAAAGAAAUUAUUUUGCUGAAUUAAUUAUGAAAUAAAGAAAAGAAUUUAUGUUUGAAACCAUUGGUAUCGAGCCCAUAUUUUUGGUCCAUAGCUCGGUACAGGUCUUAUAUAUGAUUUGAGUCGAGCCUGUAAAAUUGGGUAAGAAACGGACUUGAAAUAACGUGACUCGGACCUUAUUUGAGAAAAUUAGAAAAUUUGAUGUUCUUAAGUGAUUUUAUGAUUUUGAUGCUAAAUUAUUAUUUGUUGGUGUUAUUAUGGUGAUUUGAAUGCACGAGCAAGUCCGUAUGAAGUUUUUAAGUUGGUGUACAUGUUUGGUUUGGAGCCCCGAGGGCUCGGGUGAGUUUUGGAUAGGCCACAAGGUGUUGAUACCCAAUUUCUCUCUAUAUACUUUUCAAUAUGCGAAAUACCUUCAAAAUAGCAUAUGUAUUCAUAUAUAAGCAUGUUAAAGUGUUUUAUUAUUUUUUCAUAAUUUUAAAGGUUUUUAAAUUAAUUUAUUUUCCCUUUUUAUCCAUAAAAUCCCCAAUAAUUAUUUUUAAAAUUAUUAUUUUGAUAAUUCAUCUAUUGGAUUUUUAUACUUAUGCCAAAAUAUGGCUAAAUUAAUUUUUACAUAUUUUUACAAUUUUAUUUAGUAUUUAUAAAGCUAAAUUGUACAUAAUUGCAAUAUUAGCCUUUUAAGGUUUAAAUAGGUUUUAUAUUCACAAAAUUGAGUCCUGUAUUUUUAUAUUGUUAAUUAUGUGUUAUAAAUCAUUUUAGUACUUUAAUUUAUUUUUCAAAAACUGUGUACCAUUUUUUAUAAAUUAAAAAGGGAAAACUGGCUAUUUAUAUAACAACCCCUUUUGCAUUUCAAUUAUAACCCAAAUCGGACCCCAAUUCCCCAUACCAAUUUUGAUUUAAACCCGACCCUAAACUUUUUAAACCCAACCCAAACCCGGAUCCCCACCUACCCCGUUUAAUCUAGAUUGUUGAUCAUUUAGAUCAACAGUCUCUAUUCACCCUUCCAUAAUUAAACCAAAACGAACCAUUAACCUACUUUAUUUCCACCAACACGUUGCCCUUGAAUCCCCUUCCUAUCCAAUUCUCUCUACAACCCCACUCAAACCCUAGCUGCCACCACCCAAACUAACCCUAAUCCCCUUAGAUUCUCACCUAAUCCAUGGACUCCCAUGGCUGUUUGAGACGUGUACCGGUCUCCUAUGUCUCCUGGUUGCCUGUUUGCGUAAUUUCAUGGAAAGAUCUCAAAGAGAUCUAGUCCAGUCUUUGCUCAACUUCUAUCUAUGGUCUUUUCCCGGCCAUCCAUGGCUGUCCAAGUCAGAUCCAUGGCUUUUCCGGCUAGAUCGGUAACUUUUCGAAGUCUUUCUCAUUUUUCUGGGUUCUCCGAAACCCUAACUUUAAAGGGCUUUCCGAUUUUCUUUCAGGUCUAUCUUAGAUAUGUGUAUGUUAUGAACCUCUUAAGUGUUUUCCUUAAAGGUUUUCCGAUUUUGCCAAAAUGACUCUUCGUUUUCAACGAUUAGGGUUUUCUUAACCUCUUUUAAAAGAUCUCUUCUCCAAUUUUUAGUGUUGUUUUAUGAUUUUACUAUGUUUAAACGAUUUGUUCAUGUUUUUCUUUUACCUAGUUCAUCGUGUUAAAACCCUAAGUAUCUUUGGUUUUAUCCAGGGUUCUGAAAUCGUCUUUUAUUUUGUGUACUUGUUUCGACUGAGUUCCUUGUGUUUAUGUGACGACCCGACCAGUCGUCUCAUGGGUUACCGCUUCAUUUUCCCAUUUCUGCUUCUUUAUGCUUCGUUGUCCGUGUUUUAUGGUAUCGGGUUUUUCGUAUCAUGUCCGGAAUGAUUUUGGUAAUGUUUGAGACACUUAGUCUCUUUUAAGGAAGUUUGGGUUGGAAAAGUCAACUGGAUGUUGACUUAUGUAUUAGAGGGCUCGGAUGCAAGUUCCAAUGGUUUGGUUAGAUUCGGGAGGUGAUUUUUGGCUUAGAAGUGUGAUCGGAAUGUGUUUUGGAGGGUUGGAGUAGUUUUAGGCUUGAAUUGGCGAAGUUGAUAUUUUGGCAAUUUCUAGUUGAUAGGCGAGAUUUUGAUAUAGGGGUCGGAAUAGAAUUCCGAGAUUUGAAGUAGUUCCGUUGUGUUAUUUGGGAUGUGUGUGCAAAAUUUCAGGUCAUUCGGGUGUGGUUUGGUUGGGUUGUUGAUCAAAAGCGUAAUUCGAAAGAUUUUAGAAAGUUUGGCUUGAAUCAGAUGUGUUUUGGGUGAUUUGAUGUUGUUUGAGGUGUUUUGGUGAUUGGAAAAAGUUUGAAUAAGGUUUUAGGAUAUGUUGGUGCCUUUGGUUGAGGUUCCGGGGGCAUCAGCUGAGUUUCGGGUGGUCUAUCGGAUCAUUUUUGGAGUUGGGAAAUUGCAGAAAAUCUGUUCAGCUGUUGCAGAGAUUUUGCACUUCGCAUUCGCGAGUGGAGCCUCGCGUUCGCGAAGAGGUAGUUAAGGAAGGCAAGGAUUAAGCCUUCGCGUUCGUGGAGGGCUGGGAAGUGGUGCAUCGCAUUCGCGAGAAGGUCUUCGCGAUCGCGUAGAGUAAUUUAGGUCAGAUGAGUUCGAGGUCAAAUGUUCAUCGCGUUCACGGAAGGGUGAGCGCGUUCGCGAAGGGUAAGGUAGAGGAAGCAUCGCAUUCGCAAUGGUCAUGUCGCGUUCACAUAGAGGAAAAGUUGGUCAAAGUAAGUUUGUGCUUCGCGAACGCGAGGGUUUGACCGUGUUCUCGAAGAAGGAAAUUAAGGCCUGGGCAGAAUGUUUUUAACUCGUCUUUUCCGCGAUUUUGGGGCUCAUUUCCUCCAUAGUUGGCCAUUUUGGGAGAUUUUUGAAGGAGAUUGAAGAGGGAUUCAAGGGGAAUCGUUGGUAGGUAAGUUUCUUGGAAAAACUCGAUUAUUAUGUGAAUUUCACCUAGAAAAUCAUAGAAUCUAAGCCUAAAAUUGAAGAACUAGGGCUUGGAAUUGGAGACCAAACAUUUGGGAUUUGAAGGGCAUUUGUGGAUGGAAUUUGAUGUUCUUGGUAUGUAUGAACUCGUGGGGAGAUAAGGAGUAUGUUGAUGUGAAAUUUUUGAAUUUCGAGACGUGGGCCCAGGGGUCGGGUUAUGGUAAUUUCAGGAUUUUUGCCCUUUGUUGAUUGUUUUCGCUUGGGCUUUGUUCCCUUAGCAUAUGUUGACGUACUCUUCUGAUUUUGGAUAGAUUCGAUGCGCGUGGAGGCCGGUUCGAGGGGCAAAGGAGUUGCAAUCUAGAGAUUUAGCCGGUUCGAGGUNNNNNNNNNNNNNNNNNNNNNNNNNNNNNNNNNNNNNNNNNNNNNNNNNNNNNNNNNNNNNNNNNNNNNNNNNNNNNNNNNNNNNNNNNNNNNNNNNNNNNNNNNNNNNNNNNNNNNNNNNNNNNNNNNNNNNNNNNNNNNNNNNNNNNNNNNNNNNNNNNNNNNNNNNNNNNNNNNNNNNNNNNNNNNNNNNNNNNNNNNNNNNNNNNNNNNNNNNNNNNNNNNNNNNNNNNNNNNNNNNNNNNNNNNNNNNNNNNNNCGAUUGAUGAUUUUACCGCGUAUUUGAUUGAAAACUAUUUUCUAUCAUCAUUAUUUGGGCUGAAUACCAUAUUUGGGCCUAGUGCCAACAAUUUGAACACUUCAGGGAUUUUUAUUGAUAUUUACUCACUGUUUUGACUUUACACUUGAACUUAGUCCUGUUAUUUUUUACUGUUUUCAUACUCAGCCAUGUUUACUCAAUUUUAAGUCUUAAAUAAUAUUUUAAAGGAUGUUUGGGCUGAAAAACACUGUUUACUAUUGCCCGAGGGGCUUGUGAGUAUUUUUGACUGAGUAAGGCCGAGGGCCUAGUUGUAAGGAAACACUGAUACUAAUUUGAGGCCGAGGGCCUGAGAUAUAUAUGCCACGAGGUGGCUUGAUUGAUAUGAGGCCGAGGUCCUAGUUUUGAUUCCACGAGAUGGCUUGUUAUUGCGCUUGGGAUGUAAGGGGCCCCUCUAGAAGUUUGCACACCCCCAGUGAGCACGGGUACCCAUUGUGAUUGUUCUAAGAUGUUGCCCGAGGGGCGGAUUUGUUGAUACUGUGCCCAAGGGGCAAACUUCUAUUUGUUUACUUUACCUUAAUUACCUGUCCACUACUUGUUUACUGGUUGGAAGAGGAUUUUACUUGACUUUUCACUGUGUUACUGCUUUUAAAUGGUUUUACUGCUUCAUUAUAGAAUGCCUUGUGCCUUACAUGUUUUCUUACUUUCAGUCGUUAUUUACAUUUGUUACUCACUGAGUUGGAGUACUCACUUUACUCCCUGCACCCUUGUGUGCAGAUUCAGGCAUUAUUGAUCCUGCCAGUGCUAGUUGAGAGCUCCCGGCAGACAUUCGUAUUUCACGAGGUAGUUGUUUGAUGUCCGCAGACCCGUGUUUCUCCCUCUUUAUCAUUUCUAUCUCAUAUCAGACUUUUGUACUAGUUGUAGAAUUUUCAGACUUGCAUUAUGUUUUAUAGAUGCUCAUGACUAGUGACACCCCGGUUAGGGAUGUGUUGGGUUGUACUUCCAUACUUUAUUGACAUUAUCCGCUACUUAGUAUUGCUAUAUCAUGUUUAAAACUGCUUUUAUGUUAUUUAACUAUUUAAAAAGUGAAUUGGGUUUGAUUGGUUGGCCUUGUCUUCACGAGAUACGCCAUCAUGGCUGGGUUUGGGUUUGGGGUCGUGACAAGUUGGUAUCAGAGCCUAGGUUACAUAGGUCUCACGAGUCAUGAGCAGAUUUAGUAGAGUCUCGCGGAUCGGUAAGGAGAUGUUUGUAUAUAUCCUCGAGAGGCUACAGAACCUUUAGGAAAAACUUCAUAUUCUUGAAAUUCUUGUCAUGAGAACUUGUUGAUCCGAGUACUAAACUUCUAUUAUUCUAUUCUCUCACAGAUGGUGAGGACAUGCACUACUGGUCAGGGUGGACGACCCCCAGUACCACCAGCUGUGGCCACCAGAGGCCGAGGACGCGGUCGUGAUCGUGGUAGAGGUAGAGCAGCGAAGGCAGCACCUGUAGAUCCACCAGCUACCCCAGUUCAAUAUCAUGGCCCAGUUAUGGACGCUCCUAUAGCACCAGCUCAGGCACCAGCUGUGCCCAUCGUGAUUCCGGGUUUUCAAGAGACCUUGGCUCAGAACUUAUCAGUUUGCACUGGCCUAGCUCAGGCGGUUUCAGCCACUACACCUGUAGCUACUACUCAGGCCGAGGAAGGCAAUUAGACUCCCGUCGCUCGCACACCUGAGCAGGUCAUGCAGGGACUCCAAAUCUCGGGGGCGCAUCCAGCCUAGACGGUUGCAGUUGCUUAGGACUAUGUAGUUCCUACCAUGCCGGAGGAAGAGCAACAUAGGUUGGAGAGGUUUGGUAGACUUCAACCUCCGUCAUUCAGUGGUGUAGAGGGCGAGGUUGCCCAGAGUUUUCUGGACAAGUGUCAGAGGAUGCUUCAUACAGCAGGUAUUCUGGAGACCAGCGGGGUUGCUUUCACUACUUAUUAGUUUGCAGGAGCUUCUUUCACUUGGUGGGAGGAUUUUAAGAGGCGUAGGCCUAUUGGUGCAGCACCCCUUACCUGGCAGCAGUUCUCCGUUCUCUUUUUGGAGAAGUAUGUGCCGCAGUCUCGUAGAGAGGAGCUGCGCAGGCAGUUUGAGUGGUUGCGUCAGGGGGAGAUGACCGUGUCGUAGUAUGAGUUGAGGUUCUCUAAGUUGGCUCGUCAUACUAUCUGGUUGGUCCCGACAGAUAGAGCAAGGAUCAGAAGGUUUGUUGAUGGUCUUACUUAUCAGUUUCGUAUUCUCAUGACCAGGGAGAGGGUGACUGGUGCUACUUUCGAGGAGGUUGUGGAUAUUGCCUGUGAGAUUGAGUCUGUUCGUUGCCAGGAGUGAGAGGAGAGGGAGGCCAAGAGGCCUCGAGGAUCUGGCAGCUAUAGUGGUGCUCAUUCGAGGGGUCAGUUUCAGCACGACAAAGACCGUUCAUUUAGGCCUGCUCAGUUAGAUCGCCUAGGUUAUCGUGGGGCAACUUUGGGUCAUAGUUAUUAUGGAUAUCAGCAGGUCCAGUCAUCACUCAGUUCCCUUUCAGCUCAGAGUUCAUCUCGUGCUCCAUCAACUCAAGUCUCUUCUAUGCCGAGUGCAUCUGCUAGUCACUCCGUUGCAAGGGGUUCCCUUCAGUCCCCUUCUCCAGAACUUAGGAGUUGUUUUGAGUAUGGUGAGAUGGUUCACAUGUGGAGGCAGUGUCCUCGUGGUUUUGCUAGUUCAUCCCAGCAGAGGGGUCAGUCAUCGACUUUAGUACCAGUUGCUUCAUCACCCGCCCGCUCAACCAGCUAGGGGUAGAGGUCAGUCAGCCAGGGGUCGCCCCAGAGGGUGUGGUCGAUCAGGGGGCAGUCAGGCCCGUUUCUAUGCACUCCUAGUCAGACCCGAUGCUAUUGCUUCAGAUGCUAUCAUUAGAGGUAUUGUUUCAGUCUACCACAGAGAUGCCUCUAUUUUAUUUGAUCCUGGUUCCACCUUUUUAUGUGUCAUCAUACUUUUCUCGUUAUUUGGGUACACACUAUGAGUUUCUUGAUUUACCUGUUCAUGUAUCUUCCUCGGCAGGCGAUACUGUUAUUGUAGACCGUGUGUACCUAUCGUGUGUGGUGACUAUUGGGGGUCUGGAGAAUCGAGUGGAUCUGUUGUUAAUGAGUAUGGUGGAUUUUGUUGUUAUUUUGGGCAUGGAUUGGUUAUCUCCAAGUCGUGCUAUUCUAGACUGUCACGCUAAGACAGUCACAUUGGCUAUACCGGGUGUGCCACGGAUUGAGUGGUGAGGUGUGACUGAUUAUGUUCCCAGUAGAGUGAUCUCAUUCUUGAAAGCCCAGCGUAUGGUUGGAAAGGGUUGUCUUUCAUAUCUAGCAUUUGUGAGGGAUGUCGGAGCUGAGGCUCCCAGUAUUGAUUCUGUCCCACUUGUGAGGGAUUUUCCCGAUGUGUUUCCUAUAGACCUGCCGGGCAUGCCCCCGGAUUGGGGAUAUUGAUUUUGGUAUUAACCUGGUGCCGGGCACUCAACCCAUUUCUAUUCCGCCGUAUCGUAUGGCACCAGCGGAGUAAAGGAAUUAAAAGAACAACUUUAGGAACUCCUUGAUAAAGGGUUCAUUCAGCCUAGUGUGUCACCUUGGGUGUGCUGGUUCUAUUUGUGAAGAAGAAGGAUGACACAAUGAGGAUGUGCAUUGAUUAUAGGCAAUUGAACAAGGUAACAAUUAAGAACAAGUAUCCUUUGCCUCGUAUUGAAUAUUUAUUUGACCAGCUUCAGGGAGCGAGAGUGUUCUCCAAGAUUGAUCUUCGUUCAGGUUAUCACCAACUGAAGAUCAGGGACUCGGAUAUUCUCAAGACUGCUUUUAGGACCAGGUAUGGCCAUUAUGAGUUCUUGGUGAUGUCUUUUGGACUGACCCCAGUAGCGUUCAUGCAUUUCAUGAACAACGUGUUCCGGUGUUAUCUUGAUUCAUUUGUCAUAGUCUUCAUUGAUGCUAUUCUGGUGUAUUCGCGUAGUCAGGAGGAGCACGCAGAACAUUUGAGAGUCGUGUUGCAGAGAUUGAGGGAGGAGAAGCUUUAUGCAAAGUUCUCUAUGUGUGAGUUUUGGGUCAAUUCAGUGGCUUUCUUGGGGCACGUGGUGUCCAACGAGGACAUUUAGGUUGAUCUGAAGAAGAUAGAGGCGAUUCAGAGUUGGCCCAGACCAUCCUCAGCCACAUAGAUUCGCAGCUUUCUCGAUUUGGCAGGCUAUUAUCAUGGGUUUAUUUAGGGAUUCUCAUCUAUCGCAUCGCCCUUGACCAAGUUGACUCAGAAGGGUGCUUCAUUUGUAUGGUCGGACGAGUGUGAGGAGAGCUUUCAGAUGCUCAAGACAGCUUUGACCACAACUCCAAUGUUGGUUUUUCCAUCAGCUGUAGGUUCAUAUACUGUGUAUUGUGAUGCUUCGAGAGUUAGGAUUGGUUGUGUAUUGAUGUAGGAUGGUAGAUUUAUUGCUUAUGCUUCUCGUCAAUUGAAGCCCCAUGAGAAGAACUACCCCGUUCAUGAUUUCGAGUUGGCUGCCAUAGUUCAUGCGUUGAAUAUUUGGAGGUAUUACUUGUAUGGCGUAUCUUGUGAGAUGUUCACUGAUCAUCGCAAUCUUCAGCAUUUGUACAAGCAAAAGGAUCUAAAUUUGAGACAUCAUAGAUGGUUGGAGUUGCUUAAGGAUUAUGAUAUCACUAUAUUGUACCAUCCGGGAAAGGCCAAUGUGGUGGUCGAUGCUUUGAGCCGAAAGGCAGUAAGUAUAGGGCAUUUGGCAUAUAUUCUAGUUGGGGAGAGACCUCUUGUGGUUGAUGUUCAGGCCUUGGCCAAUCGGUUCGUGAGGUUAGAUAUUUCAGAGCCCAGUCGGGUAUUGGCUUGUGUGGUUUCUCAGUCUUCCUUAUAUGAUCGCAUCAGAGAGCGCCAGUAUGAUGAUCCGCAUUUGCUUGUCCUUAAGGACAUAGUUCAGUAUGAUGAUGCUAGAGAUGUGACCAUUGGAGAUGAUGGGGUGUUGAGGAUGCAUGCCGGAUUUACGUGCCCAAUGUAGAUGGGCUUCGCAAGUGGAUUCUGGAGGAGGCCCAUAGCUCGCGGUAUUCCAUUCAUCCGGGUGCCGCGAAGAUGUAUCAGGAUUUGAGGCAACACUAUUGGUGGAGAAGAAUAAUGAAAGAUAUUGUGGGAUUUGUAGCUCGGUGUCUCAAUUGUCAGCAGGUGAAAUAUGAGCAUCAGAGACCGGGUGGUUUACUUCAGCAGAUGGAUAUUCUUGAGUGGAAGUGGGAGAGGAUCACUAUGGACUUUGUUGUUGGAUUCCAUGGACUUUGAGGAAGUUCGAUGCUAUUUGGGUGAUUAUGGAUUGGAUGACCAAGUCCGCACACUUCAUUCCAGUGUGUACUACCUAUUCUUCAGAGAGGUUGGUAGGGAUCGAUAUUCGAGAGAUUGUUCGCUUGCAUGGUAUCCCAGUUUCCAUCAUUUCAGAUAUAGGUACUCAGUUUACUUUGCAGUUUUGGAGGGCCGUGCAGAGAGAGUUGGGUACUCAGGUGGAGUUGAGCACAACUUUUCAUCCUCAGAUGGACGAGCAGUCCGAGCGUACUAUUCAAAUAUUGGAGGACAUGUUGCGUGCUUGUUCAUUGAUUUCGGAGGAUCAUAAGAUUAGUUUCUACCACUUGCAGAGUUUUCUUAUAACAACAACUACCAAUCGAGUAUUCAGAUGGCUCCAUAUGAGGAUUUGUAUGGGAGAUGGUGUAGAUCUUCAGUUGGUUGGUUCGAGCCCGGUGAGGCAAGGCUAUUGGGGACAGACUUGGUGUAGGAUGCUUUGGAAAAGGUGAAGGUGAUUCAGGAGAGGCUUUGUACAACGCAGUCGAGGCAAAAGAUUUAUGCUGAUAGGAAGGUUUGAGAUGUGUCCUACAUAGUUGGCGAGAAGGUUCUGUUAAAGGUUUCGCCCAUGAAGGGUGUUAUGAGGUUUGGGAAGAAAGGGAAAUUGAGUCCUCGGUUCAUUGGGCCUUUUGAGGUGCUUCAGAGGAUUGGGGAGGUGGCUUAUGAGCUUGCUUUGCCACCCAACUUGUCGAGUGUGCAUUCGUUAUUUCAUGUGUCUAUGCUCCGGAAGUAUAUUGGGGAUCCGUCUCAUGUUAUGGAUUUCAGCACGGUUCAGUUGGAUGAUGAUUUGACUUAUGAUGUGGAGCCCGUAGCUAUUUUGGGUCGGCAGGUUGGAAAGUUGAGGUCAAAGGAUAUAGCUUCAGUGAAAGUAUAGCGGAGAGGUCGGCCCGUGGAGGAGGCUACCUGGUAGACCGAGAGGGAGAUGCAGAGCAUAUAUCCUUACCUGUUUUAGGCUUCAGUUAUGUUUCUUGAUUCGUUCGCAGACGAGCGUUUGUUUAAGUUGGGGAGGAUAUGACGACCCGACAAGUCGUCUCAUCAAGUACCACUCCGUUUCCCCCAUUUUUGCUUCUUUAUGCUUCGUUAUCCGUGUUUUAUGGUAUCAGGUUGGUCGGAUUGAGUCCGGAAUGAUUUUGGUAAGGUUUGAGACACUUAGUCUCUUUUAAGGAUGUUUGAGUUGGAAAAGUCAACCAGAUGUUGACUUAUGUGUUAGAGGGCUCGGAUGAGAGUUCCGAUGGUUUAGUUAGCUUCAGGAGGUGAUUUAUGUCUUAGGAGUGUUAUCGGAAUGAGUUUUGGAGGGUUGGAGUAGUUCUAGGCUUGAAUUGGGAAAGUUGAUAUGUUGGCGAUUUUCAGUUGAUAGGCGAGAUUUUGAUAUAGGGGUCGGAAUGGAAUUCCUAUAGUUACAGUAGUUCCAUUGUGUCAUUUGGGAUGUGUGCAAAAUUUCAGGUCAUUCGGACGUGGUUUGGUUAGGUUUUUGAUCAAAAGCGUAAUUCAGAAGAUUUUAGAAAGUUUGGCUUAAAUCCGAUGUGUUUUGGGUGAUUUGAUAUUGUUUGAGGUGUUUUGGUGAUUUGAACAAGUUUGAAUAAGGUUUUAGGAUAUGUUGGUGCCUUUGGUUGAGGUUCCGGGGGCCUCGGGUGAGUUUCGGGUGGUCAAUCAGAUCAUUUUUGGAGUUAGGAAAUUGCAGAAAAUUUGUUCAGUUGUUGCAGAGAUUUUACCCUUCGCAUUCGCGAAGAGGUAGUUGAGGAAGUCAAGGAUUAAGCCUUUGCAUUCAUGAGAAGGGAUUCACAUUCAUGGAGGGCUGGGAAGUGGUGCAUUGCGUUCGCGAGAAGGUCUUCGCGAUCACGUAAAGGAGUUUGGGUCAGAUGAGCUCGAGGUCAAGUAUUCAUCGCGUUCGCGGAAGGGUGAGCGCGUUCGCGAAGGGUAAGGUAGAGGAAGCAUCGCGUUUGCGAAGGUCAUAUCGCGUUCUCAUAGAGGAAAAGUUGGUCAAAGUAAGUUUGUGCUUCGCGAACGCGAGGGUUUGACCGCGUUCGCGAAGAAGGAAAUUAAGGCCUGGGCAGAAUGUUUUUAACUCGUCUUGUCCGCGAUUUUGUGGCUCAUUUCCUCCAUAGUUGGCCAUUUCUGGAGAUUUUCGAAGGAGAUUGAAAAGGGGUUCAAGGGGAAUUGUUGGUAGGUAAGUUUCUUGGGCUUAAAACUCGAUUAUUAUGUGAAUUGUACCUAGAAAAUCAGAGAAUCUAAGCCUAAAAUUGAAGAACUAGGGCUUGAAAUUGGAGACCAAACAUUUGGGAUUUGAAGGGUCAUUUGUGGAUGGAAUUUGAUGUUCUUGGCAUGUAUGAAAUCAUGGGGAGAUAAGAAAUCCGUUGAUGUGAAAAUUUUCAAAUUUCAAAUGUGGGCCCGGGGGUCGGGUUUUGGUAAUAUCGGGAUUUGUACCCUUUGUUGAUUGUUUUCACUUGGGCUUUGUUCCCUAAGCAUAUGUUGACAUACUCGUUCUGAUUUUGCAUAGAUUCGACGCGUGUGGAGGCCGAUUCGAGGGGCAAAGGCGUCGUGAGUUAGAGAUUUAGCUGGUUCGAGGUGAGUAAUGAUUGUAAAUGAUGUUCUAAGGGUGUAAAACCCCGAAUUGCACAUCGUAGUGCUAUAUUGAGGUGAGGCACACGCUCGAUGACGAGCAUGGGGUCGUGCACUAUUGGGGAUUGUUACUUUGUUCGUCCUGAUUGAUGAUUUUACCGCGUAUUUGAAUGAAAACUAUUUGCUAUCAUCAUUAUUUGGGCUGAGUGUCAUAUUUGGGCCUAGUGCCAACUAUUUGAAACUUUCGGGGAUUUUUAUUGAUAUUUCCUCACUGUUUUGACUUUACACUUGAACUCAGUCCUGUUAUUUUUCACGGUUUUCAUAUUCAGUCAUGUUUACUCAGUUUUAAGACUAAAAUGAUAUUUUUAAUGAUGUUUGGGCUAAUAAACAUUAUUUACUAUUGCCCGAGGGGCUUGUGAGUAUUUUUGACUGAGUAAGGCCGAUGGCCUAGUUGUGAGGAAACACUGAUAUUGAUUUGAGGCCGAGGGCCUGAGAUAUAUGUGCCACAAGGUGGCUUGAUUGAUAUGAGGCCGAGGGCCUAGUUUUUAUGCCACGAGAUGGCUUGUUAUUGUGCUUGGGCCUUAAGGGGCUCCUCCAGGAGCCUGCAAACCCCCAAUGAGUGCGGGUACCCAUUGUGAUGUGAGAUUGAGCCCCAGUGGCUGGUAUAGUUCUGUAAUGUUGCCCGAGGGGUGGAUUUGUUGAUACUGUGCCCGAAGGGUGAACUUCUAUAUGUUUACUUUACCUUAAUUACCUGUCCACUACUUGUUUACUUGUUGGAAGGGGAUUUUACUUGACUUUUCACUGUCUUACUGCUUUUACAUGGUUUUACUGCUUCAUUAUAGAAUGCAUUGUUCCUUACGUGUUUUCUUACUUUCAGUCGUUAUUUACAUUUGUUAAUCACUGAGUUGGAGUACUCAUUUUACUCCCUGCACCCUUGUGUGUAGAUUCAGGAGUUACUGAUCCUGCCAGUGCAAGUUGAGAGCUCUCGGCGGACAUUCGGAGUUCACGAGGUAGCUGGUUGACAUCCGCAGACGCGUGUUUCUCCCUCUUUAUCAUUUCUAUCUCAUAUCAGACUUUUGUACUAGUUGUAGACUUUUCAGACUUACAUUAGAUUUUAUAGAUGCUCAUGACUAGUGACACCCCGGUUAAGGCUAUGUUGGGUUGUACUUCCGCACUUUAUUGACAUUAUCCGCUACUUAGUAUUUCUAUAUCAUGUUUUAGAUUGAUUUUAUGUUAUUUGACUGUUUAAAAAGUGAAUAGGGUUUGAUUGGCUGGCCUUGUCUUCAUGAGAGGCGCCAUUACGACCGAGUUCAGGUAUGGGGUCGUGAUAGUUUAGAUACUUUUCUUUGUUUAACUUGACUGAUUCAGAGUUCUUACUUUUUAUAACUUAGCUUUGUUAAAACCCUAAUUUCUUAAAACUUUCCUCACCUGUUACUGUGAGCUUUUGAAGACUUCCUUUACUUAUUUCGGUGUGUUAGUGUGAUCUUCUCUAACUGUUGCUAUGUGUUAGAUUGUUUCCUUCAUUUUUGGUUCUAUGUGACUACUUGAAUUUGUUGACUGCCAUGCUUCAAGUAGGUCCCUUACUGAUGAGUCCUAGCCUACUCCUGUUACUGCUGUAUGUUUGUGUUCAUCUAGUUUCUUCCUUUGUCAAUAUGGUUGGCCUUUCAUGUCUGAUACUCUUGUUCAUUCUUCUCUAUUUAUAUGGCGAAGUGCAGAAUCAUGAUUCUUUCUUGAUUGAUCUUGAUUUCCUCAAAUUAGGACUGAUUGCAAGGGUUUUCUUAUAAACCCUUAAUUUUACUCAUUUGUUUAAUUUGAUUGAUUCCCUUCCUUUAUUUGCUGUGAUGUUUCACCCCUGCUGAAUCCCUUCCCCAAUUAAGUAUAUUCUGUACUUAGACUCAAUUGUAUACUCUAUAUUCUUACUAUCCCUUAUAUGGUCAGAAAUCAAUCUUCCUCAAAUUGAUUUUCUUUCCUUAAUUAUCCCUGUUAGUAUUCGUUAAGCAGUAAUUCCUUGAUUAAAGUGAGGUACUUGUAUUAAUUGAUUCUGAUUGUGAUUACUUCCAUAUUUGUGCUAAACUUUACCUGUUACCUUAUUUUCUACUCGUUUUCAAAUCUAUAAAUACCCUACCCUCUCUUCUCAAAAGGACAAACAACUGAGUUCAAAAACACACACUUACACAUUCAAACUCUCUUUCUUUCUCUACUACUUGUGCUAUUGCCUUGUCUAGCCAUUGAAAGCCAAGGCUAGACUUUGGAAUUCUGAUUACUUUACUUUUUCUGCACUUUGCUCCUUCAACUAGUAUGUUUUUAAUUUAAAUUCUAAAACUCAACUCUAUGUGUUCCCUUGUUUGUCAAUCCUUGUCUCUUUUUGCACUAACUUAAUGGCUCAUGCUGUUGAGUUGUACUAUUUGUUUAUUGCUUUACUCAGCAUGCUUAAAAUUCUGCCCUCCUUUGUUCAAAUGUGAUCAGCAUAUUUACUUGUUCCUGUUUAUGUCCUUCAACUAGCAUGUCUAUAAUGUACCUAAUUUAUGACUAAUUGUGUGUUUCUGAUUUGGGUCCUCUAUGUCCCCAACCCCUACUCCCCUGUUUGUAAUUGCUGAAGCAUGUAAUUCUCUUUGAACUUGUUCUAUGUGUGUUGUUAUUGCUCCUACCCCUUUCCCUUUCCAAAACUAUUUUAUUAGGUAAUUCUUCUGCUAUUUUACAAACUCACUUCAAACAUGUUGUUUCUAAAACUAUCUUCCAACUCAACUCCUUUGAGUCAAUGUCCAGCACUCUCACAUGCACUCUUAUAUCAUUAGGUUUUGCCUCUCUUAUGUGAGCCUUGCUUUGGGACCCUUGAGCUCCCUCUGAACCUGGACACAUAAGAGCUGGACCUUCCACACUGCACUUAUUCUUGGUUAUGCAAUCUGGGUGUGAGCACUACCCGGGAUCCCUCGAGGUCCUUAGGGAACUCUGACAGACCCAGAUAUGAGAAAGGCUUUGGAACAAUAUUGGCUUUUGAGGUAGUUGAUCACAUAACUCAGAGAGGAAGUCAGGAUAAGGCUUCCUAUGGUUGUAACUUCUUAUUUUUGCAUUUUUCUUGUGUAAUUCAAUCAUAUGGUCUGUAAUAAUUUGUAAACAAAUAUUGGGGUGGUUAGUGAAAAAGGAUGGGGAAAUAUGCAUGCUAUAGUUAAAGGGUAGAAAACAUGUUAUUAGGUUUAUAUUCCAAGUUGUGCAAUAGAAAUCAUGUUUAGGACUCAUACAAUGCAUUAGAAAUCAUAUUCUUAGGAUUCAUGUUUCCUGCUUUAGCAUCUUAUUCGUUAAUCCAUGCUUCGUGUCCAACACUUAGAAAUCCUGCUUCUAGGACGAAUAAAUAAAAACUGUUACUCAUGAAGUCGUUUCUUAAUAAUUCUGCAACUCUUUUGUAUAUUUAGAAAUCAUGCCUUAGGAACUCUGCCAUCUGCAUGUGCAUAUUAUAUAUCAUGUUCUAGGAUCCUGUUUGCAUUUUGUUGAAAACACCUAGUUAAUUACUUUAUCAUGAAAAAGGUAGUAAGGUAAUAGUUUUCACAUUGUAAAGUUUCUGAAUAACUGGUAACAAUCUCUACAACUAGAACAUCAUGUCUUAGGUAAUAAUAAGCUCCAAGCUGUCUUAGCAAUUCUGAAUAACUACUAAAUACUGCUUACACCUAGGCAAGCCUUAGGUAAUGACUCAAAUAAAACUGGAACUGCCUUUGUUUAAUUAUCGACUGUCAUAACUAGUAGGCAGGCUUGAUUCAGACUUUUUUUCUGAGUCAUGUGAUAAAUCUGGUUCUAACUUAAAUACCCUGCUUUAGGAUUCUAAAUUCAGACCUUAAUUGUGUAUAAGUCAUGCUGCCUAUGUGCACUGUUUGCGGAGGUGUAACUGAGCCUUCUAUUUGCUUAUAUGUUUCCCUAUAAUUGCAGUCUUACAUGUUUUGUAUGUCGCUUUAUCAUUUUUACCUUUAAACCUGAGGGUCUGCUUAGAACCUCCUUCUUAUAGGAAUAAGAGUCCUAAAAUUCCUCCGGGACUAAUAGGAAGGGACGGGUAACAACAUGCAAUAGUGGUCGAGACUAACCCUCGCUUUAAUUAUCUUCACAGGGUAGGAAGGGUAGAUAUGGAUAUGAUGAUCGGUGUGCUAAUACCAAGUAUAUCCCCUCUUCUGAGGAGUGUCAUACUGGGUAUUACAUUGAUGUGAUCCAUAUUACAAACAAACCUAGGACCCCUUUACAUUCAUAAGCAUGCUUAGAUUAUAACUCUUUUUCAAAGACCUAUUUUUAUUAAUUGUUUUCAAACGCAUGUAUAUUUAAAUCCCCUAUUAUUUGAGCCCUACUUGUUUGUUUGCUAAUUGCAUAAAUUCACAAAACUGUCUGGCCUGGAACCACACUAGUGGAUCCUGAGGGGUGCUUAACACCUCCCCCUUGGGAUAAUUUCAAGCCCUUACCCUAUCUCUGGUUAUCAAAACGUAGUUGUAGCUAAACCUUGUAGGUACCCUAAUGCACUUUAAAAUCGUUAGGUGGCGACUCUUCAAAAACAAAAUACCUAAUUCCCAAAAGGAAAUGAGUCAUUAUACCACAUGAAUGUCAAAACCCGGACCCCUCUCCGCGGAGGGAAAAAGAGGGCGUGACAACAUGGCAACUCUGCUGGGGAUAUUUAGGCUUUUACCAUUUCAGAUUGUUCUUGUGAAUUUGUACCCCUCCCUUAUGUGCAAUUACUUGUUUAAUUCCUUUAAGCAUUUAAUUUAUUUUUCAAAAGCGAACUGACAUAUCUUCUUUGUUUCCUUCCUUUAUUGCUGCUUUAAAUUAUAAAACUGCUGUAUUUAUUGCUUUCUUAACGUGCAAAUACAUGUCAACAUGCUUUUAAUUAUUGCAUAAUCAUGCUCAACAUCAUACUCUACUAGUGCCAAACAAAUACUAUAGCAAUGCUUGAUGAGUGGUUGCGCUCUUCCUAUAUCAUUACUCCUAAAUUCGGAAAGACAUAUUUGCGGUAAAACUAGUCGAUCAGUGGUGCAGUCGACCGUUCCGUGCCUUGCCCCUUGAGUUGUCCGCUCAAGGGUACCAGUCUAAAACCCCAUAGAAACCUUACUUUGUUUAAAUUGUGCAUGUAUCAUGAUCAAACCUAGCUGGGUCAGUUAUGUUGUCCACAUAAUAAUCCUUUAAGAUAGCCUUGUCCAAAAGUCCACUGGGUUUUCCUAAACCCAAACGGACAUCAUCAUGUUCUGUGCAUUUAUUUGGAGAACUAAAUGCGUCAUGCUAAUUGUUGGUGUAUAAAUAGUCGAGUCUGGUGGGGGUAAAUGGCCUAACCUUAUUUGUCUUGCAGAAAAAUGAGGCACGAGGUCCCUAGUUUUGGUAUGAUUAGCACGUCCCUACUCUUGCUAGACUGGUGGAGGAGUCUUUCGUUAAAUGACCAAAUCAAUGAGUGGAAAGAGAGGGCCGCCAAAGCUAGCGAAAAGUUGGAAUAUCUGGAAUAUAGUCUGCUGGAAUUAGAAGGAAAAGUGAGGAAGAGAGUCACCGACUACCAGAACACUGAGGGAAUCGAAGGAGAACACUUAGCAAAGGCAUUUUUACUGGUGAACCUACGUGAACUGGAGGAUUUGAUCAACGAGAGCAUUCAACAUGAGAAAGGUCCUUCUAGGACCAAAUAGAUAGGAAUUUAAGAGGGAGCAUAGCGAAUUUGUAUUACAUGGAAUUGGAGGAAAAACAAUUUUCUCUCUCUAGAAUGAAAUUCCCUCUCAACGAAAGCUGGAAAUGAUGAGGAAAUCUAAAGCUAGAGGAGAAAGACAACAAAGUCAGGAGAGUGUUCAACAAUCAUUCAAUGCUAGAAUUGGAGUCCCAAACUCAGCUGAUGCGAAGAAAACUCGGAGCAUCAACGUGCUACAAAGAAUCACUGCGUUAGAGUUAAAUAAGGCAGCGAUGGAACAUGAAACACCAGUGAAGCUCAUGCAUGGAGGUGCGAUAAACCGUCAUGGGAAGAUAUCGUAGAGAAUGAAGUAGAACAAGAAGGUACGUUGGGGGUUGAACCUCAAAUUGCACCUAAAAUGAGGUUAUGGAGCAGAAUUGUGGCUAAUAUUCCUGAUGUAGAUGAAUUAGAAUUGAAAACUAAUGAAUCUACAAAACAAAAUGUUAAAAUAACUAUGGAGGAUAUCAAAGAGGAAGUAGAGUAUUGGAGUAGUGCAGUAAUUUGUUGUGUACUUGGAUGUAAUCCACCUCCAGUAGUUAUGAAUGACUAUUUUCAUAGAAUCUGGGGGAAAUUGGGAAUAGACAAGGCAGCUUAGGUUAACAGAGGUGUAUUUUUGGUUAGAUUUACGCAAGCUGAAAGUAGAAUGAAGGUGUUGGAAGAUGGAGUCCAGAUGUUUGAUAAAAAGCCUGUCAUCAUAAAGCCUUGGUCACCAGAUGUAGACACUAGAAAUGAGUCAUUCAGUAUUGUGCCAAUAUAGAUUGGGCUCCCAGGGCUGGACAUCAAGUACUGGGGGAAGAAUGCAUUGACAAAAAUUGUGGGAAUAGUGGGUAAACUUCUAAAAGCAGAUAGAGCCACAACAUGGAAGGAGAGGAUGAUAUUUGUCGGAGUGUUGGUGGCAGUUAUACUAGACCAACCUUAUCCACAAAGCAUAAUGUUUGAGAAUGAAAUAGGGAAAAUCUUGAACAAAAGGUGCAUUAUGAGUGGAAGCCAACACUAUGCAAGGAAUGUAACAACUAUGGGCAUGAGAUGGUAGAGUGUAGGAAGCAUAUUCAGGCAGAAAAAUAGAUGGCAAGUAUAAAAGAAGGGGAUAAACAGAAUAAGGCAGAAAAGGAAAGGGAGCAGAACAAAGAAGGAAAGUAGGAAGGAAGCCAAAUGCAGAAUGGAAGGGAACAAAAUACUAGUGAAAACCAGCACAACAAUGUAAUGGAUGGGGGUAAACCAACAUACAUACAGAAGGGAAGUAGAGCACAAAUAGGGAAGGAUAUAACCAGGAACAUCAUCAACUUAGAGAAUUCUUUUGGUGCAUUGGGAGAGACUAGUAACCUGGGAGUAGUGGAGCAGGGGAAGAAUGGAACUUGGAAGAAGAUGGUAAAUGGAGAAGGAGAACAAAUAUUGGGGAAGGGAGGAAGCCCUCCCCCAGGAAAUGGAUAGUAUAGGUUUCUGGAACACCAGGGGGAUAAAUAGACUAGCAAAGCUGAAGAAAGUUAACCUGUUUCUGCAACAAUGUAAAGUUAGUCUAUUUGGGCUCCUGGAAACAAAGAUUAAGAGGAAUAAUGCUCAAAAGGCUAAUCUUAAUCUUUAUAAUGAAUGGUCUUGAACAAACAACUUAGAGGCUCAUCCGGGGGGAGGAAUUUGGAUAGUAUGGAAAACUGCAAUCAUGCAGGUGCAAAUUGAGUUUGUAUCUGCACAAGUAAUUCACUGUGCAGUAAUGUACAGUGGUAAUGGAGCAAAAUUUUAUGUCACUUUUGUAUAUGGAUUCAAUGAUCCAGCUAUUAGAAGGCCUUUAUGGUAAUAGGUGAGGGAUAUAAAAAGGAGUAUAAAUGGACCAUGGGCUUUGAUGGGGGACUUUAAUUGUGUUCUGAAUAAGGAGGAUAAAAUAGGGAGACCAGUUACUAUGGCUGAGAUAAGGGAAUUUAGAUAAUGUAUAGAAGAAUUUGGUCUUCAGGAGUUGAGGUCCUCUGGGGCUUUCUUUACAUGGAAUAACAAACAAUAAGGGGAGGAAAGGGUAUAUAGCAUAAUAGAUAGGGUAGUGGUGAAUUCAGACUGGAUCACUGCAUCGCCAGUCUCAGAAGUGCACUACAUGAAUGAGGGACUAUAUAAUCAUUGUCCUGCUAUUGUAAACUAGGAUAAUGGCAAAGGAAAUCAGAGAAGGCAAUUUAAAUACUUUAACAUGUGGAAAAUGGCUGAUGAUUUCAAGGAAAGAGUUAAACAUAGUUGGGAAGCAGAAAUAGCAGGCAACAAAUUGUUUAAGGUGAUAGGCAAAAUGAACAUAUUGAAGGCAAUCUUGACAAAACUGAAUAAGAAAAGGUUCUCAAUUAUUGAAAGGAAGGCUGAGCAUGCUAUGGAAGAACUGAAGAGAUGCCAAACAGAACUGCAAGGUGAUGAAAGAAAUAAAGAAUUAAUUGAAAAAGAGAUCUACUUAGCACAAGAAUACAAAACUUGGGGAGAAGCUAGAGAACUAUUUUUGAGGCAGAAAAGUAGAAUGUUAUGUCUCACUCAAGGGGAUCACAACAAAAAUACUUCCACAAUGCAAUAAAGGAGAGAAGAGGUAAGAAUAGAAUCUUCUCAAUUAUUGAUUCUCAAGGGGUAACUAGAAGAGAUCCAGACAAGAUUGCUCAGGCCUUUAUAGAAUUCUACAAAACGUUACUUGGAGAAAAAGAUGAGAACAUGAAACAUGUGUGUAGU
RNAcentral lists this long non-coding RNA (45305 nucleotides) under Nicotiana tabacum (common tobacco). RNAcentral describes it as "long non-coding RNA (NTAB_LNC010360)". The record is from RNAcentral. Lineage: Eukaryota; Viridiplantae; Streptophyta; Magnoliopsida; Solanales; Solanaceae.